UCAGGUUUUCAAGUGCUAGCUUCAGGGUUGACGAAUUUGGAGAAACUUGAUCUGCGUUACAAUAAAUUUAACGACAACAUUUUAUUAUAUCUCAGUGGAUUUUCAACUCUCAAAUCUCUAGAUCUAUCAGACAACAUGUUUACAGGAUCAACUGGUCUCAAUGGUAAAGUUGUAAAUCAAUCCUACCUCGAAUGACAUUCCCUCUUGAGGUUUAAUAAUUACAUGUGUAUUAACCCUUAAGUAAUUGUUUGGAUGAAGCCUUAAAAAGGCUUUAUAUAAUUAAUUCUUUAACGAGUGAAAUAAUUUGAAAAUGACAUGUAAACGCUAUUAACUUUCUUUUAAUUUUUUAAUUUUUUUUAAAUAAAUAAAGGUGAAUAUUUAAUUAAUAAAAUUUUAAUAUUAUAUUAAAAAUUAUUUUAAUUUAAAAACUUAAGCUAUGUCUUGUAUAUUAACUCUAACAUUAUAAAUUAUUUAAUUAUUGUAAAUAAUCAUUAUUGAUUGUUCUCUCUAUCACAGGUUUAAGGAAUUUAGAAAUCUUGAAUCUAGAUUCAAAUGACUUCAAGGAAAGCAUUUUGAUAGACUCAUUGGGAGUGUUGCCAUCCCUCAAGACCUUAUAUGCUAUUGAUAGUAAUUUUACACACUUUGGGAAAGGUCAGUGACAGUUUUGGUGCCUAAAGCAAUACGAUAUUUAUAAUAUAUUGAUGGAUUUAUUUGAUCUGUUCCAUAGGGUUGUGUAAUUCGUCUAGCCUUGAAGAAGUGUACCUCGAUUUUUCUUCUCUCCCAGCAAGCUUUCUUAGGAACAUUGGACCCUUGUCUACUCUUAAAGUCCUAUCAUUGCUCGGAGUUGACUUCAAUAGCACCCUACCUGCUCAAGGUAAUUCUACAAAUGAACAAUUAUAAGAGUAUUGAAAUCCAAAUAACAGUUGUUCAUUAGAUAUUUGUGUUAUAUCUAUGUUUUAUUAAACUAGAAAUUUACUCCUAAUGUUACGUAAAGAAAAGGAUAAAAUCUAGAGUUUCUCAAUCUCUAAAAUUUCUCAGUCCUAAAAUUAGGGUAGCUGGCAGAUGCAUGGACACGUGUUAGAAGUUGUUAAGAGUCAACUAGAGUUAGUUAACAGUAGAAUAAACCGUGUAAUGCAUGUGGGGAAGUAUAUAUAUAAUGGUAGGAGGAUUACGCACGCAAGAAAUAACAGAAUCAUUCUCCUCUUAACAACCAUCCUUGAAGACCCUUUCUCUCAAGGAUACUGGUUAAUCAGUGUUUAGUUUCUUAAAAUCUUAAUUAAUAAUAUUGAAAUGAAUGACUAUUCUGUACCACCACUAUUUUCAUCAUACCUUUUCUUCAUUUUUUUUUGUCACAGGGAUUUUCUUCAAUUCGAGCACCCUUGAAGAAUUGUAUCUAGAUUACACUUCUCUCCCAUUAAACUUUCUCCAGAACAUCGGAGCAUUGCCUGCUCUUAAAGUAUUGUCUGUUAGUUACUGUAACCUCAAUGGCACCCUGCUCACUCAAGGUAAAUUAACAACUCUCCAUCCACUCAAGAUUCUUUCAACAUUAUAUAUUUUGACUAUUUCCAUAUAAAUUGUAUAGGUUGUUUUUAAUUGAAGGCUUACUCCUAACUUUACGCUUUAUUUAGCAAAGAAUAACAUCUAGGGUUUCUUAAUUUCUAAAAUUUUUCGUUCCUAAAAAACUUUGAAUUAAAAAAAUUAUGGAUAUAAAUUAUUAAAUUAUGGAUAUAAAUAAUCUAAAUAACCAAUCUCUAAUAUAUAUAUCGAUAUAUUUUUACAGGCUUGUGUGAACUGAAGAAUCUUGAACAGCUAUAUCUCUCAGGAAACAAUCUAAUGGGCGUACUCCCUCCUUGUUUUGGAAAUCUAUCAUUUCUACAAGUCUUGGAUGUAUCCUACAACCAAUUGGAGGGGAAUAUUGCCUCUGGUCACCUUUCCCAUCUUACGCAGCUCAAAUCCCUCGAAGUUUCAAAUAACAACUUUCAAGUCCCAAUAUCAUUUGGUUCAUUUAUGAACCUCUCCAACCUCAAGUUCAUUGCAUGCGAUAACAAUGAGCUAAUAGCUGCACCCAGUUUUCAGCCUUCAGCUCCCAAGUUCCAGCUUCUUUACUUUAGUGCUUCAAACUGUACUUCAAAACCACUCGAGGCUGGAUUUCCAAACUUCCUCCAGAGCCAACAUGAUUUGGUGUUUGUUGAUCUAUCCCACAACAAAUUCGUUGGACAACCUUUCCCAUCUUGGUUGUUUGAGAAUAAUACAAAGUUAAAUCAACUAUAUUUGAGAGACACCUCAUUUAGAGGUCCUUUGCAGCUGCCACAACACCCAACACCCAACCUUCAGACAGUAGAUAUGUCUGGCAACAACAUACAUGGUCAAGUUGCAAGAAACAUAUGUUCGAUUUUUCCACGUUUGAAGAACUUCAUGAUGGCUAACAACAGCCUCACAGGUUGUAUUCCUCCUUGUUUUGGGAAUAUGAGCUCUCUCGAAUACUUGGAUCUUUCCAACAAUCACAUGUCUUGUGAACUGCUUGAGCAUAAUUUUCCAACAGUAGGCUCCUCGUUGUGGUUUUUGAAGCUGUCCAACAACAGCUUCAAUGGGCGAUUACCACCAUCUUUGUUCAACAUGACUUACCUACUACCUCCUUCUAGAUGGAAACAAAUUUGUAGGAGAAGUACCAGGUACUUUUUCUCUUGAAUCAUCACUUUUGUGGUUGGAUAUCAGUAACAAUCUUUUGUCAGGCAUGCUUCCAAGGGGAAUAGGGAACUCUUCAAAAAACCAACUUGAUGGAAUUGAUUUGUCCAGAAAUCAUUUUGAAGGUACCAUUCCAAUAGAAUAUUUCAAUUCUUCUGGGCUUGAAUUUUUAGAUCUUUCUGAAAACAAUCUGUCUGGGUCAUUACCGUUGGGCUUCCAUGCAUUAGAUUUAUGCUAUGUCCACCUAUACGGAAAUAGAUUGAGCGGUCCACUGCCAUAUGAUUUUUAUAAUCUCUCUUCGUUGGUGACAUUAGAUCUCGGCGAUAACAACUUAACUGGGCCCAUUCCAAAUUGGAUUGAUAGCCUUUCGGAAUUGAGCAUUUUUGUUCUCAAAUCUAAUCAAUUCAAUGGGAAACUUCCUCAUCAGUUAUGCUUGUUAAGGAAAUUAAGCAUAUUGGAUCUUUCAGAAAAUAAUUUUUCUGGUCUGUUACCCUCAUGUUUGAGCAAUUUAAAUUUUACGGCAUCAGAUGAAAAAACUUUGGAUCCUCGUACGGGAUAGGAUUCUGAAAGCGGAUUUUUAAAAUUUGCAUCCAUAGGGGGAAGAGGAUUUUCUCUUCAUCACAAUAUUUUGUGGGCAGCGAUCAGUGUAAAAAUAUCUAUAGAGCUUACAGCAAAGAAACGUUUCUACACUUACGAAGGCGAUAUCCUUCGUUACAUGUCUGUUAUGGAUCUUUCUUGUAACAGAUUCACUGGAGAAAUCCCGACAAAAUGGGGAAACUUAAGUGGGAUAUAUUCUCUAAAUCUGUCACAAAAUAAUCUCACUGGAUUGAUCCCUUCAUCUUCUCAAUCUGAAGCAGAUAGAGAGCUUGGAUCUUUCUCACAACAAAACUUGAAUGGGAGAAUUCCUGCACAACUCGUUGAACUGACCUUUCUAGAAGUUUUCAACGUGUCGUACAAUAAUUUGUCAGGAAGAACACCGGAGAUGAAAAAUCAAUUUGUACCUUUGAUGAGAGCAGUUAUAAAGGGAAUCCUCUUCUUUGUGGACCUCCAUUGCAAAACAGUUGCGACAAAACAGAAUCACCAUCAGCGAGAGUGCCUAACGAUUUCAAUGGAGAUGAUGGCUUCAUAGACAUGGACAGUUUCUAUGCCAGCUUUGGUGUGUUUACAUAACUGUGGUGUUGACAAUUGCAGCAGUACUGUGCAUAAAUCCGCAUUGGCGACGCAGGUGGUUUUACUUCAUUGAAGAAUGCAUUGACACUUGCUACUGCUUUUGGCUAUAAACUUUCGCAAGUUGUCCAGAUUCAGAAGGUGAUUGGUCUUAUCAUGAGCGUGUGGGCUGCUUUCUGAAUUUUUUGUAAUCCUCUGUGGAGAAGAAGUUGCAUUCCAAAUCAAUGGUUGCUCACUACAUGUUUAGCAAUUUUCCUGUGAGAAGUGUUCUGUCGAAGUGUUUGGUUCUUGUUGCUUAGCCUUUAUGUUUUGACAUGACUUGUGUUUGUCCUUGUGCUUGUAUCCAUAUUUGUUUGUUUCGUUGUUAUGUCUUUAUUAUGUUGCGUUUUGGUCUUAGAUAAGCAACCAACCAAUAUUUCUUGGUUUCUUGUGAUUUCUAUAUCCCUAAUAAUAUGGAAUUUAUUCACAAUUGUAAUAGUUUACAGUAUCAUAUUUUCUCAAUUAAAAAAAUAAUUGAUAGAACUAAAGGAUCAUACCAGCAAGGUGGAAUGUGGUAAAGCAAUAAUUUUGUUUGCUGAAAGAACAUAAGUCUAAACUUAAAACAAGGAAAUAUUUAUUGAAUAAUCAGUAUUUAUCUAUUUUGGCAAUUUUCUCAGCCCUAGCUAUUUAAGCCUUACUUGUGGGCUAUUUUGAACAUCAAGAGUUUAUUUCAGAUUUUUCUCUCCUGUUGGGUCUCUUUCAAGCCCGUUUUGCACUUAAUUUUGAAUUCUUUUAAUUAAAUCGGUUUUAAACUCUUAUAUCAACAAUUGGAGGAUUGUUUUAAGAUUAGAUUAUUUAAUUGUAAUUUUUCUGAAAAAUACAAGAGUUUUUUUUCUUUAUUCGUCUAUAAUGUCAAGGCUAUAAGAGAACCCUAAUUCAUUCAUGCCUCAUGAAAUUCAAUUUGGCCAGUGGUGGUAUAAGGAAACAAAAAGGUUGUUAGAAAAAUUAAGAAUUUUGAAUGUUUCAUUUUAAAAUGGUGACUACUUUUUAAUUUCAGAAUUCCAGAUUGUUAAAUCUUCUAUUACUUGUUUGCCUCUUAUGAUUUCUACUGUUGUGAUAGUCAAGCUUGAUGAUAUAAAUUACCUAUUCCAGUCUUAUACUUGGCUCCUCCAAGCAUGCAAUUGAAGGAGAAUAUAAAGAUAUCAAAGGCUCUAGUCCUGCCACAUAUCAAAAGAUUAGAGAAUAAAAUAGUUAGAAUGUUGUUAGUAACUGUUAGCCUUAUUUGUUAGUUAAGAGAAUCAGUUAGUAUUAUUUAGUGAAGAAUAGAUAACGUGAAAGGAAAACAGACAAGAAAAACAAAAAGGAACAGCAAAGAAAAGAAAAGGAAAAACAGCAAACGAAAAAAACAAAGAAGGAGAGAAGAAAAGUAGUCUUUCUCUCUCUAUUUAUCUUUCUAUUAGUUGCAUCACCAUCGCCAUUCUUCCUCCUCACCGCCACCAACAUCACCAUAAGCCAUCGUAGGUCCGCUUCCCCCUCUCUUUCUUCUUCUUCUCCCCCACCCCGAUCUUCAUUGUUCUACUAAUGAAUAGUGAAGGGUGAAUUAUAAUUCACGCUCCACGUGGAGAGCCAUUAUUUCUAGGUCGGACCAAUACCUGCCUAGACCAAAACAUUAGGGUCGGGUCCAACUUAAUUCCCCUUAGUAUAGAGUACAUUGGGCUGAAAUUGGCCCCACUCCUAAUUCGGGCCGAUAUUGGCCCAACUCUACUAGGCUAAUCUCAGCCCAAUCGCUUUUUAGGUCAACUUUGUGCUAAUUCCUUUUAAAUCAAACUCGGCCUAACUAGGGUGGGCUCAGCCCACAUAACUGGGCUAAGCCCAUCCUAAUAUAUUUUAAUAUAUAAUUAUAAUUAUAAUUAUAUAUAAAAAACAACAAAAAAAAUCCAAAAAUCCUUUUAAAAAAAUUUGUGAUUUUCUCAUGUAUUUUUCUACCAUUUUGUAUUAAUAUAGGUUUAUAUUUUUAUACUAUAAAGAUACAAAUCCAAUAUUAAAAUAUCUAGUUUUCUCUGAAAUAUUGCAAAAAUAUAUAUAUAGAGAAAAAAAAAUAUCUUGUUUUCAUGCAUACAGUUAAGUCUCUUAAGCUUAUAAGAAAUUUUCAUAUCAUAUUUUCAUACAACAAAAAAUUCAAAAAAUAUGUAUUAACAUGCACUUUGAAUUUUAAAAAUCAGUUUAUUAAAGUCAUGAGAACUAGACCAAUAUUUUAAAAAUACCAAAAAACAUUAUUUUGUUUUCUUUUAAUAUUUGAGAUUUUAAACAUAUACGUAAGACAUAUUCUUAAAAUUAAAUAAAAAGUAGUUUUUUUUUUUUUUUUACGUUAGAAUAGUUAGGUUUUAUCUGAUAAGAUAAUGAUCUCCUUAUUGAAAAGGAUUUUUCUUAAACCUUUGACAGACCAACAAUUAGAAAGCACAACAACACCUUAGUAUACAUUAAACAAUAAGCAAUGCAGCUUACCUUAGAUAGAGUGUAUUAGGGGUGAUAAUAUCUUUAUUUUAAGCAACCAGUCCUCGUGUUCGAUCUCUGAAACCAGUUAUUGUUAAUAGUGACAAAAAUACCAAAUGGUGAUUUUCAUUCCCUCUCUCCACUAAUAAAAGAUAAAAAAUCAUUUUCUACCCCAUUUCCCGAUACCACCCAAGAGCACAAUCACGGGCGACACUUUGGAUAGGUUGAUUAACUUGUUGCUUAUUUAUCACGCUAUGUCAUGUAGCUUUUAGUUAUUAUUUUGAAUUCUAAAAUAUAAAGACAGACUUUUUGUAGACAUGGUUUUAGAGUUGAAUUUUCCAGCGUUGACUUUUUAUUUUACGUCUCUCUCUCUCUCUCUCUCUCUCUCUCUCUCUCAUACUUGUCACUUAUGUCCUAAAUUGUUAACCAAACACAAUCUACUAUCAAAUUUAAUAGUUUUACUGAUUAAUUUUUUUUUCAGUAUUUACACUUAUAAUUUGUCGGUGUGUAUAUUACCAAUGGGCUAAUGGAUGGAAACAAUCUGUCAGAAAAAAUCUCAUUUGUAAUUUAUUGUUUGUCAAUAAUAAAUAUAUUGAUGAAUUUACAGACGACAAAAACACGUAAAAAAAAUUAUUCACUACAUUCUGUUGAUAUCUUUAUCGGUAAAUUUAACAUAUCAUCGACAGGAAAAUCGUAUGUAAUGUCAUCAGUGUUUAUAUUUAUCCAUCGAUAAAUAUAACAUAUCACCAACAGAAUACCAUCUGUAAUUCUAUCAGUGAGUUAACCGUCGAAGUGAUAUUUGCAGUAAUUAUUUUCCAACUCUCUCUAAAUAUACAGACGGAGUUGUUCCUUCAGUAACCCCGUCAGUGGUAUUUAAUAUAUAUAUAUAUAUAUAUAUAACUAGAAAAAUAUUUAAAAUAAUAUAAAAAUCAAAUAUGUAUUACAAAUUUAAAUAUUUGUACGUUCAAAUACAAUAAAUCUAAAAUAGAGGCAGUAUUGGAGGAGAAGGAGGCUAGUUGUUGUCGGGAUCGUGAGGCAAAUUAGAAGGUGUGCAUGUACCACCUAUCUGUGAUAUCAUCUUCAUUACCAAUAAAAGAAGUUCUUUAUAAUUAGCAAUGAGUCAUUCAUAUUUUUUUAUUAAGAUGAGUUAUUUGAGCAUAUAUUCGUUGGUAUAACAUCACAACGAGCUUGAGAGUUUGAGUGGUCAGAAUUGAAUGUGAGCAUCCAACGAUCAAAACAUUAUGGGUCGUCUACAAGUUAUUAGUCGUAAUGUUAAAAAGUUCAUACACCUAAUUUAUAUCGGAUCCACCAAACAAUCCUGCUUAUAACCACAAAUCCAGAUCAAGAUUUGGAUGGGUCGAAGGAUCAUCCUUGUAUCUCUUCUUCAACUAACUGUUAUACGUAUUCUGGAAAGAAAAAAAAAAUUCAUCAAAUUCAAGGAAAUAUUAAAAAUAAGUUUGAGUUAAACCAAUAUUUUGUUGUUUAUUUAGUUUACAUAAUUAAUUAAUACAUGUUGUCAUCAAUAUUCUAUAUAGGUUUGACAUAAGUAAUGGAUGAUUAUUUAUGGAUGUAUCAAGAUUCACCGAAACGGUUGCGUAGGAUGGAUUGUUGUAAUAAAGUUCAGGGUUUUAUUAAUUAUGCACUAUUUAAUUCGAGAAAUAUUAAUGAAAGCAAUAUUAGAUGUCCAUGUAUGAGAUGUAAAAAUGAAAAGUUUCUUGAUUCAGAUAUUGUAACGAUGCAUCUUCUACAAAAAAGGUUCGUGAAGAGAUAUUUGUGUUGGUUUGCAUACAAAGAACCAUAUGUUCCUCAUGAGACCAUUAUAGAAAGAAUGAUUGGGUCAACUUAUAGUUCUAGCAACGUGCAUGAAAUUAUAUAUAACAAUAGUAAUCCUUAUAGGACUUUGGUUAAAGAUACGAUGAAAAUAAAUCAGGGUUAUGCUAGUAAAUGUUCAAUCAUAAAUGAAGAACAUAACACAAACACGACCAGUUUUUUUUUUUUUUAUCUUUUGAAAGACUUUGACGAUACUUUGGGAUUUAAAGAAAUUGACAAACUCAUCAGCCUAGGAUACCAUAAAAUUGACAUGUGUCCAAACUUUUACAUAUUGUAUUACCUUGAAAAUGUAGAGUUGAUCAAGUGCAAAACAUGUGGGCAUGCUCAUUAUAAAUCUAGAACUGGUAGGGAAGGACUUUUAUCGCACAUAGAAAACUUAGAUACUUCUUAAUCACACCUAGACUACAAGGGUUAUUCAUGUCACCAAAAAUUAUUGAGCACAUGACAUGGUAUCAUUCACAUGAUGCAGUGGAUGAAGUAAUAGUGCAUCAUUCUGAUGGUGAAGCCUGAAAACAUUUUAAUAUGGUGCAUCUUUAGUUUUCAAUGGAAUAAAUGAACGUGCUUCUUGGGUUAUGUACAAAUGGAUUCAAUCCAUUCAAAUCAUUUGCUACUUCUUCUUUUUUUAAUCAAAUGUAAGAAUAUAUUGAGAUCAAAGGAACAAAGCCACAAAAAUAGGAAAACACAAAAUAUAUAUACAGUGAUGAGGGUAACCAAUACCCUGAACUAAAAUGGGAACAUGCUCCCAUUGAAAAGAACAUAAAAUAAACAACUCCAAGGCUAGAAGUAGCCACACAGAAGACAAAAAAAAAGAGUGGUAAAAUUGAGCAUAACCAGCCAAUCCGAUGUACUGCCAGCCAAGCCAACUUACUGCCACCCAAGCCAAGACAAGCUGCCGAAAGCCAAUAGAACAUCCAGCUGCUCCUUUUCCAUGCAGGACCAAGGCGGCAACAUAUACCCCACAACCAAAACAGCAUCACAGCAGCCCUUAUUCCAUCCAUGAGCCUUAUCAUGCAGGGACGUGAAAAGCCAUGGCCAAUAGCAGCCUCCUAGAAAAACAGCCAAGACAACUUUAAAAAUCCAUACAUUAAAUAAUCAAUGCAGGUCGAGGAUCCAAGCAAUCAUUUGCUACUUCUUAUUUUUAUUGGUUGGUGAUACUCCUGGUUUACAAUUUUCCAUUGGGGAUGUGUAUGAGGUCGGAGUUCAUAUUUUUAUCUAUAUCAUAUUUGAUCCUAAUAAUCUGUGUCGGAAUAUAGAUGUUUGUCUUCGUCCACUUAUUAAUGAGUUGAACUAGUUGUGGUCGUUCAGGGCUUUGAUAUAUAAUGUAUUGAGAAAACAAAAUUUUUAGACAAAGGCACUUUCUUGUGGAGAAUCAAUGAUUUUUCUAUGUAUGGAAUGGUUUCUGGUUAAAACACAUGAAAAACUACAUGUCCAUAUUGUAUGGAAAAUAAUAAGGACCUUCAUGUUAACAAAUAGUGGUGAUUUUGAUGUUUUUAAGCUAAGAAAAAAUGUCUAAAAAUUGUUUAGGUUACUGAAGAAAUUGAUCAAACUUUCUUUAUGGGCUGACAAAAAAUAAUUCUUUAUAGGUCAAAGAUUUAUUUUAUAAUAAACUCAAUUCCAAAUCUAUAAUAGGUUAGCGAGUUUGGAGCCUAUGCCCAAGUAAAGUUAAGCACGCGUGUGGGAUAGAGGAUUUUGGGUUUCGUAAAAACAUUUAAACUAAGAGGUUUUUUAAAUUAAUUUUUUAUUUAUUCACAAUUUAAUUACUUUAAUCAUAUUAAUGUUUCAUGUUAAUAAACAUUUAAUAAUUUCCAACAAAGUUUUUACUCCAAAAGUGAAUGAAUUUCAUUUUAAAUUUAGCCCCAAAUGUAUCAAUUGAACAUGUUUUAUUAAAACAAUUCCUACACUAUCAUCCUUAAACUACUAGUUAUGAUGAAAACAUUGGAUUAUCAUUACAUAGCCGUGUGCUUACCACUACUAAAACAUGUGCUGAUUAUGAUUAUAUCUCAACACAAUACUUUUAUCAUAAAAAAAAAAAAACAGAGAAGAAUAUUGUGUCAUUUCUGUUGUAACCCAUUUUUGGGUCCCCAUGAAAAAUAAAAUAAAUAGCCAAAAGAGUUUAGAAAAAAUAGCAGGAGGCAGAAACGCUCAGAAAACAGUCAGAAAAUUGGUCAAGGAAUUUAAAAAUACAAGGAUUGAAUUUUUAACAAUAUAUUCUUGAAGGAUGAAAGCCCUAUUGAGAAGGAAAAUUUGAAUUUUGAGGAGAAAAGCCCAAAUUUGGAUGUUUAUGGAUUUAAUUGGAUUUUGUUUUUGAAUUUAUAGAAGAUUUGAUUACAAGAAAAAUUGAUUUUUAAGUCAAUUUGGGCUUUAAUUAGAAGAAAUUUAAGUUCUGGGGCCAAAAUAUAUUUUUUAGGAAUUUAUUGGGUCAAAUCAGGGGCUUAAUUGCAUAAAUAUUGAAGUUUAAUGGCCAAUUAGGGGCUUAAUUGUGAAAAUCCGAAACCAGGGACCAAUUUGGAGAAGGCGCAAAGAUAGAGGGGGCUGUUUGGAUUUGAUUCAGGGGCUUAAUUGAAGAAAUUGGAAGUUUAUUGGUCAAUUAGGGGUUUAAUUGUAAAAUUAGAGGCCAAGGACAAAGUGGAAAAACGCGGCCAACUAUGGGGUAGGGACCGAAUUGGCAGGGACGAAUUGAGUUAAACAAAGAUGAUUAAGGACUGAUUCAAAAAAUGUUCUGGCGCCUUUUCUUUUAAAAUGAAACGGCGCGUUUUAUCCAAAACGACGCCGUUUCAUGCAUAAUAAAAAAAAAAAAAAAAAGAGACCGAACGGUGCCGUUUUGAACGGCACUGUUCACUUUCUUCUUCCCCCGAACAUUACAGCGGGGAAGAAGGAAAAGUUUGUAUUUUUUUUUAUGUUUUGCAGGUCCCUCUUGCCACCAACCGACCGAGGCCCCACGCCGGUGGCCCACCGACAGAAGACGCUGGCCGACCACCCGCCGCGCUGCCGAAGCCGAGGGAGGCCCGCCUGGAUAGCCGCUCCCCGACAGCCGCUCCUCGACCCGCUCCUUGGCUCCACGGUGAAGCCACGCCUGUUAGUUCUAUAAAUAGAGAACCGAAGGAACCCGAGAGGACGACGAAAAAAAAAACAGAAGAGGAACCCGAAGAGAACAAGAAAAAACGAAGAGAGAGAGAAGGAGAGAGAAACCACAGAACUUAAGAAACAGCCACCGAAAACCUAAAACUGAGAAGCUUGGGAAAAUUUGAAGCCGAUAGGAAUCUCAGGAAACCGAAGCAGAAGCAACAAACCGGGUGAGCGACGACGAACCGUGGGAAAAAGCUGUAGCGCCGCCUGACUCGCCGUCCGUAAGCCACGACGCUGCCACCGCCUCCACCGCAGCACCGCCAGCAAGCCACCGUCUCCACCGCACCAGGUACGCUUCCUUUCCCCCCUUGCAUUUUUUUUUUAAAAAACCUGCAUCAGUUUUGCCUCCUGCAUGCAGAAUCAUGCUGCAUGCAGGAGGCGGGGGGGAAAAUAAUCCCCCCCCGUUUUGUUUUAUUUUUUAGUUCUCUGGGCCAGAUGGUGUCUGGCCCAGAACUAUGUGGGACGGGCCAGAGGGACCUGGCCCGAUCCGGCGGUCUGGGCCGGACAAGGUUAUUUAGUUUUUGGGCUGAGAUCGGCCCAGUACCGGUUGGGCUGAGAUCGGCCCAGUACCUGUUGGGCCAAGUUCGGCCCAACGCCUUUUAGGGUUGGGUCCGGCCCAGUUUAGUUGGGUCGGCCCAGCCCACUUAAUAUAUAUUUAUUAUAUUAUUAUAUUUUAUUAUUAUAUUAUAUUAUGCAUGUAUAUAUAUAAAAAAAAAAAAUCCGAAAAGUUUUUUUUUAAAAUAUAUUGUUGUUUCCUUUUCAUAUAUAUAUUUUUUAUAUACAUUGGUUUGUAUUUUUAUAUUGUGGAGACACAAACUCAGUGUUUAAAAUACCCGGUUUUCGUCAAAACAUCCAGAGUUUCAAAGAUAAAAAUGUCCGUUUGCUUUCAAAAAUUCUAAAAAAUAUCCUUAAGAAUAUUGUGGAUUUUCCUGCACAUUUUUUUUAUGAUUUUUAUAUUGGUUUGUAUUUUUAUACCGUGGAGAUACAAAUUCAGUUUUUUUAAAUACCCGUUUUCGUCGAAAAAAAUAUAUUUACAAAAAAAAAUGUUUUCUUGCGUGUUGCAUACGGCCAAUACUCUAACAUGUUUUGAUUUCUUUUUUUUUAAAAAAAAAAAUAUUUUGGAAGCUUCGAAAGUGUGUUUUCGCAUAGAUUUCUUAAACACAAAUUAUUUUCUUGCAUUUUUGGAUUUUACAACAUGUUUGUAAAACUCCAAAGGGUAUUGGCCAAUAUUCCAAAAAAACUAUAAAAAUCUUUUUGGGGGAAGAAAAUUUAUUUAUUAUUCACCGCUAAUGUUUGGAUAAAGAAAUCCUUAAAAGGAUGAAUAUCCAAAAUAUUAUUGGGAGUAAUAAAUCCGUACACAUUCUUGAAAGAAGCCUUGAUUAUAAUCGAGGACAUUUCAAAAUUUUAAUUUUUUUUUCCCACGAUUUAUGAGUCCCAAACUCUUGAAAUACUAAAGGGAAAAAUGAGCUUUCAAAGCACAUGGAAUCUCCUUAGAUUUCUAUCCAAAAUCAAUUGACGAGCCUAGAAAAUACCAACACCAUAGCAAUUAUAGAGCAAACGAAACACCAAGCAGCUUACCUUAGGUAGGGCGUACUAGGGGUGCUAAUACCUUCCCUUUACGCAACCAGUCCCUUGCCUUAGAAUCUCUGAAAGACCAGUUAGGGUUCCUAGUGACCAAAAUACUAGGUGGCGACUCCAAAGAACCAAAUCCGCUAAACAGAACAAAAUGAAAGUCGCCAGUCGAAUGUCGCAAAAAACAAAUUUUUUUUUUAUUUUUAGGAUUUUUUGGGGUGCGACAAUUUCUAUCAUCCAACUUGUGAAUAUGAUGAUAGCGUAUAGUAAAAUACUUCUAUUGGCCUGGAAGUUUCCCGGAUCUCUCUGGCAGAUGAACGUGGAUGAGGUUUUUUUUUUUUUUUUUUUUUGUGAUGCAAAUCAUGAGAUCAACAGCUUCUUCUUUUUUGUUUUUUUUUUUUUUCUAGCCAUCUGAAAAACUGUAGUAAUUUUGUUAAAUAUGAGGUGUGAUAGAAAAUUUAACAAGCCCUAACUUUCAGGGAGAGAAAUCUGCUCAUCAGUUUAGCUCACAGACUCGUAACUGGUGAUGACUUGACCGGCUAAGCAAGGUUUUUUUUAAUAAAAAAAAACAUAAUAAAAUUUAUAUUUCAUUUACAAUAAGACUCCUUCAACCGCAAAAGCACAUAUGAAAAUAUGAAUUUUAAUAAAAUAGCAGCGUUUGUUGCUGCGUUUGCACCUGUGUUUUGCUCAAAUUUGAUUUAUUUUUUUUUGUAAAAUUGAGUUUGAUUUGUAUUUUUUGGAUCGUUUUGAUGUGCUAAUAUCAAAAAUGAUUUUUAAAAAAUAAAAAAAUAUUAUUGGCAUGUAUUUCAGCACAAAAAACUAUUUAAAAAACAACUGCUACUACACUAUCAAACACGCUCAGUCUUAUGUCUAGAUUUGUCUGUAGAUUUUGCGAAAAACAGAGGAAAACAGGGCAUUUCUAGUUCUGAUCAUGACUUUUAUCUAACAAAACCAUGAUUGAAUUGUUAGAUAGAGCGCAGAUUAACAUAGAUCGAGGCAAACCAAUGGAUUCAACAGCCCGAUGACGAGUGCCAUGCAUGAUCAAUUAAGACCACAGUUGCAUCAUCAUGGCACCUACCUGCUGGAGAUUUAGCCAACAAACAGGGGUUAGUGGGCAUGGGAGUAGAUGGACGUUGACAAGGACAUAAAUACUCUGUCAAAUAUGCGAGCUUCCACGUUGAGGUGGUUGGGGUCUUUCUUGAGACAUGAUUGCUGGGGUCGAGAACUGUAGAACAAUUUCCCUUUAUAAAAUAUAGUUAUCAGAACUGGCUCGAGUUCUGAUCAUAAUAAAAAGCUAAGAUGAACUGAGUCAAUUCUAAAAUUACAUUAAAAAAAAUCUCAAGAAGUUCAUAGAUACUGGGAUUAGAAAAUCUUUCAUGAUUUUCCCAAUUUAGGGUUCUCUAAUACUGGGUUUAAUUAUGAAUUAGUGUAUUGAUGAGCAUUUAUUUAUUUUUGGUUCUAUAUGGUUUAUUCUCUUUUUGAUUGAAUUUUUUAACAAUCAUUUAUAUAUAGAUUGCUUUGUUCACCAAAAAAAAAUAAAAAAUAUAUUAACUUUUUUAGUUUUGAUUUUUUCCGGUUUUAAUCAAAUAAAAAAUUAUUUUUACCAUCUUUAAUUUAAAAACCGUUUGUUUAAUUUCAAAUAAAAAAUAAUCAAAAUAAUGCUUUUAAUUUUAAAUCAUAGUUUAAAUAUAAUAUUGACUGCAUAGACAAACAUAAUCUUACACUAACAAAUAAUUAUAUAAAAAACAUCGUGAUAUUUAUAACAUGAUUUUCAAUAAUUAUAUUGAAAUAUUAUUAGUAUUCUCACUUGCAUGUUUUAACUAUAAGGUAAUUUGGAUAAUAUUAACAAGAAUGGGGAUUUUAACUUAAUCUCAACCAUAUAUCGAUAUAUAUAAAUUAAUUGAUCUGAAAAUAUCAAAAGAUAGAUGGAAGCAAACAGACGUAACACUUUUCCCCCGCAUGCAUGAUUGAGACGAUAGGGCGAAAUAAACGGAAUCAGCCUGGGAAAAAUACAAGGAUGAAAAUGAAAACAAAGUAAAAGAAAAGGGGUUACAAAUAAAGUAAGGAAACGUUUUAGCAGGGUCUAAUUGAAAGAACAAUUUUCCAAAAAGUGAAUCACCUUUGGGAAAAAAAAGAGGUUUUCGGCUGUGAUUGAGGAUUCAUAGGAUUUUUCCACCCUGUAGGGCCCAGUGGGAUUUUUUACUAAAUCCUUUUGACUAAUGAAAUUGAGUAAUUUUCCACUAAGAGACAAAAAUGCUUGUAUCGAUUUGAAAUUUUGCGUCGGAGGGAAAGCACAGAAGGGAACAAGAUUUGAAUUUUGAUCCAUAAGAAGAAAACAAAUUUCUUCAUUUCAAUGGCUGCCAGCUUCGCAAUAGAGUGGCGGGAAAAUCUGAUCUAGCUUUCUUGACAAAUACUACAAGUCAAUCAGAGAAAUAUUUGAUUAUGAAAUGGGAUAAUAGAGAUUUGGUGCAUCUUAUGGUAACUGAGAUUUGAAUAUUAGGAAAAAGAGUAGAUAUCUAAAUAUUAGUUUGGGACUGGUAGUUGGAGUAUGAUAUCGAUCUUGCUGUAUUUUAAAUGUAUUUAAAUUCUCAUUAGGAAAAAAAAAAAAAAAGAGUUAAUAGUGACAGGGUAAAUUAAAGAUGUGUUAAAACAAGAAAAAUAUCCUGUUUCAAAUUGUAUUUUUUAACUACAAAUAUCAUUUUAAUUGUUAUUCAUUUAAAUUCUAGUUUGAAACACAACAUAUCAUAUAAAUAAACAAGUGAAGUCUUAAUCUAUAAACAACGUGUAUUAAUUGUUAUCAUAGAAAAUCUGUUAGAUACAAACUAUGAAUUAAAAUUUAAUAAUUAUAAUUUUUUUUUAAAAAAAAAUCAAUUUAUAAUGCUUUUAUAGGCUUAACUAACUCAUUUAAUUAUUUUAAUAAUAUGAUGUUGCUACUUAAGUUUACAUUAUCAAUCACUUUUGUUGAUAUUAUUAUCAUUAUUUCUAUUAAUAUCAUCAUUAUUAUUAAUUAUUAUCUCAACCAUCAUCAUUACAGAUAUUAUAUUUUUAUAUUAUUACUUUUUAAAUAACAUAAAAUUUGUUUUGUAAUAAUAUAUCUUAUGAAAAAAUAUUUUAUAAGUACAAUAUUUUAUGGCAAUCAAAUGCCUUCUCGCUUAUUAAGGAUUUGCUGACGUGGUUGAUAGUUUUUUUUUUCAAACUUAUUAUAUCAUUGAUAUAUAAUUUGAAAUAUCCGCAUCAUGACAUCAAUGAGCAGUUGCUUGGUGAUUAAGGGGAGCUAUAAAAUCAUGUCCAAAAUUGCUGGCAACCCACAUUAAAGUCAAGAAUUUGCUAAACGACGAGCUGGCCUUUAAAAUCUCUCCCUGUGUUUUCUUUAUUCAUUUAUUAGUGACAAAGAAACCAAAUUCUCCCUUACACGUUCAGUUUUUAUUUCAUAAUUUUAAGGGUUUUAGAAGUGUGAUGAUGAUUAUUUUUUAAAGUAUGUUUUAUUUAAAGAUAUAUUAAAAUAAUUUUAUUAUUAUUUAAAAAAUAUUUUUGUCACCAGCAUAUUAAAAUGAUAAAAAAAAUAUUUUUAUACAAAUAAAAUUAAUUCUUUAUGAAAUAUUAUUUAGAACUCAAUUUCAGUUUAAUUUGAUGAGUUGAUUUAAAAUCCAAUUAGAGUAGAGUUUGUAAUUAGAACGACCAAAAUUUUAACCUGAUAAGACUAGUGGUUUUGAUUAAUACUAAAUUAGAUAAUAAUAAUAAAAUACUUCGAAUGAAAUUAUUUAAAGUGGAAUUCAAUUUAGUUUUAAUAAUAUACUACAUAUUAAUUAAAAAACUUGGAACUUUUUUUAUUAAUUAAAAAGCCUAGCCUACUUACAAAUAUCAACAUAAAUAGUUCUAUUUAGUUUUAAUAUAUAUAUAUAUAUAUAUAUAUAUAUAUAAGCAGUAGGAAGUUGAAUUUGUUUUAUUAAUUAAUUCACCUGGUGGUGUAUUCAGUCAAGAGUGAAAGAUGAUAGGUUAUUUACAAGUCAAAAUCUUUAAAAAUUAAAAAACAUAAUAACUGAAAAAAGAUACAUAAAAUAUUUAAUAUUUAAUUAUUUAAGUCUCACUUAUCAAAAAAAUCAAUUAAACCUUUUAUAUAUAAAAAAACUGAAUAACCCUAUUAAUACUAAAUAGAAAAAUUAUUCCCUUUAAAUAUAAAAACUAGAAAAGCUUAAUGAUACUAAAUAGAAAAACAAAACUCAUAAACUAAAAAUAAAUAAAAAUUAUUGAGCAAAAAUAUUUAUUUUCCCAAAAAAACUUCUACAUUAAUUUUUAUAAAUCAGAAGAAACUCGUUCCGAGUUCAAAUUAUUCAUGGAGUUGAACCCUCUUGGUUGAAAAACAUCUCUUCUACCAUUAAAUUAUAUAAUGAAAUAUUCUUUCAGCAAAACCUCCUCAAUUAAAAACCAAUAAUCAUUUUAUGUGUGUUACCUCAUUACAAGUUCUUAACAUCUUUAUAAGAGUUGUUGUAUUAUAGAUCUGAAACAUAUUUAAAAGUUUAAAAUUAGUUUUAAUAUUAAUACAUCAAAACAAUUUGAAAAUAUAUUUUUUUUAAUUUUAAACAAAAAAAUAAAAUUUUAAAUUUUGAAAACAUGAUAUGCAUCAAGUUUCAAACCUAAGAAUAGUUAGAACUAGUUAUAUGACCCGCGCAAUGCCACGAGUCAAUUUGUUUUGCAUAAAAAAAUAUGAAAAAAAAAGUUAAGAUAUAAAAGUGUUAGGUUUUUUGCAAAGUUAUACUCAGGAGCCGUGAGUUUGACUGCAACGCCUAACUCAAGAGUAAUAUUUAUAAUAUUAAUAAUAAUAUCAAACUUGUAUGACCCAAGUUUAAGUGAGUUUUACUGCAAUACCAAAACCAAUAGUCUUGGAUGUGGAUGUGGCUGCAAAGUCGUGUCAUAAAAGUGUGAUAAUAAAAUAAAUUGAUUAAAAAAAAACCAACAGGAAGAAAAAAACUAAUAAAAAAAAGAAAAAAAAUCUGAAUUAACUGGGUUAACCCAUCAAACCAAGUUAACCCUUCAAACCUGGAAUCCGUGUCAUGAAAGUCUGAUAAUUAAACAGAAAAAAUUUAAUAUUAAGAAACUAAAUUAAAAAAAUAAUUAAAAAACAAAGAAAAAAGACAAAAAAAAAAACUAAAGGCAUUAACUUUUUCACUGUGAAUUGCACUAUGAAAUCCAUAGUAAAAGACUUAAAAAGAAAAGGAUAAGGAAAAAAACACAAAGGCAUACGCCACGGGUUAAUUUUUUUUUUCUUGCAUAAGAAAUAUGAAAAAAAAACUAAGAUUUAAGAGUGUUAGGUCUUUCUACAAAAACAUACCUAUGAGCCUUAGGUCUAGCUGCAACGUUUGACCCAAGAGUAAUAUUUAUAAUAUUAAUAAUAAUAUUAAACUUACAUGAAUCAAGUUUAAGUGGGUCUGACUGCAACACCGGACUCAAGAGCCUUAGAUGUGAGUCUGGCUGUAAGGUCGUGUAAAAAAAAUAUGAUAAUUAAAUAGAUUAAUUAAGAAAAAACAAAUGAAGAAAAAGAAAAAAAAAUUGAAUUAAUUGGGUUAACCCUUCAAAUCAGGUUAACAUGUCAAAGUUGAGAUUCGCGUCAUGAAAUUUUGAUAACUAAAUAGAAAAAAAAAAGUUGACGGGUUAACCCAGAAUUAACUGGGUUAAUCCGUUAACACAGGUUAACUCGUCAAGCCCGAGACAUGUGUCAUGAAAGUUUGAUAAUUAAAUAGAAAGAAAUUUAACUUUAACAAACUAAACUAAAUGAAAAAAAAAAAAUUAAAAAGCAAAAAAAAAAUUGUGUUAACUCGUCAAAUCAGGUUAACCCGUCAAAUCUGGGAUAGUCUGAUAACCAAAUAAAAAAAAUUAACAUUAACAAACUAAAUUAAAUAAAAAAAUUCAUGAAAAGAAAAAAACAUAAAAAAAUUCAUAAAAACAUAAAAAAAAAAAAAUUAUUAUUUCACUGUGAAUUUUAUAGUAAAACACUGAGCAGAUUUAGUUUAUUGUUAAUACGCAGUCUGGCUGACACCUAAUGUCCUAAAUAAGAAAACCCAUUGGGUUUUACGUAUGAACAGAAAAAAAUAGAAAUGUGAACAAUUGAAGAUAAGAAAGAGGUAUUUCAAACAUUUUUUUUUUUAACAAUAAUAUAUGAAGAUCUGGUGCAUAAUUUAACUAACUGAGUCCUGGCCUCGACCAAAUACUUUGGCUUCUUCUUCCCGCAAGCUAUCCACAGAGCCAUUUCACGAAUCAUGUCAUGCAUUUUCUCAUCUCUGGCGCCUUCAUCUUCCAAUCAGCAUUAUUGAGUAAGACUGUCAUUGAUGUUGUAACCUUCAAUUCGAGCCCCUCAUACAUCUCCAUAUUCACCCAAAAAUCCCUCCCAUGGCCAACCAAUAAUCUAAUUCCGGGAAGAAAGCACAAUACAGGAAACAAUAAUUAACUUUGUUGCUGUGAAGACUAUCAUAACCAAGCUUCAGCAGAGCAAGGUCCCUAUAGGAAGUACCUGAAAAGUCUGAGGUGGCCUUACUUCUGGUAGGGAUCCUGAGACGCCACUACCCAUAUAACGAAAUCGAAAUGGAGCUGUGAGUUGAGCAAGCUGUUGCAGACUUGAGUCAAGAGAGCAGUCUUGAGAAAGAUUGACAUCCUGCAAACCCACGACAACAAUGAGAUAUAUGAGAAAGCAGUGAAAAUUUUGGAGAGAUACUGGGCUGAGGAAGAAGAUGGAGAACCAAUUGUCCAAGAUGGUGGAGAUGGAAAUCAGCAAGGUUUUGCUUUUGGAACUAACCAGCCAGCGUUCCUCAAGGUGGCUUCAAGUUUGGGCGAACGCCUCUCUAGCUUUUUGUAGAUUUUUUCACUUGCUUUGAAAUUUUCAACACUAUAUGUUCGUUGCUGCCAAGGCUCAGAAUUUUUGGUCUGGCACAUAGGGUUUCAGUAUCGAUGGAAAUUGUCAAAAAAUGUUAAAACUUUAGGACUCCACCUUGGAAUUAGUCGAGUUGAAUUGUAAAAUUGAUGUAAAGGAUCUUUGUGAUUGUCUUGAUAUGGAAUUAGACUCGUGCUAUGAUAUAUGAUGAGUUCUUAUAUAUUGAGAGCAUCAGACUUGUCCCGAAUGGCUGGUUUCUGAUGUAGCUAGAGCAAAUUUUCUGAUGUAGCCACUGAAAAUGUAGCUGUUAUGGAUUGUGCAUCAUCUUUUCAACUUACAUCUCGAAUGGAUGAGAUGUUUGAGCCUGCUGCAAUGAAUGCAAUGUGAAAAAAACUGCCGCAGCUUGGAGGCAGUAGCACUGAAAUGAUUUCCAUGUAGCUGUUACUCAUGUUUAUCAAUCCCCUCUUAUGAGGCAUAAAGGGUUGACAAGUGGAAAGCGUUGAGGCACAAACAACCAUAGUUAUCAGACAUGGUUAUGGUUUGAGUUGUGGAUUUUGUUAGAUCAAUCAUAAAAUGAAGUUGUUUUGUUAUUUAUAUAAAUAAAAAUUAAAAAAAAUUAUCAAGUCAAUUUUUAAAUCAAUUCAAAAUAAAAACCUAAUCUGAGUUCGAUUUCAAGUAUAUGAAUUAUCGAAUUAAUCUGGCCGAGCAAGUUUUCAUAACCACGUACAAAUCAAAAGCCCUUUGAUUGAAUCAACAAAAUUCGGGAGAGGAUCUAAUCUCCAUCAUUAGACAUUAUAAAGAAGGGCUAGACGCAAUAUUAAAUGGGCCAGAAAGAUCUUAUCAUCUGAAAAUAAUAAAUGAAGAUUAGAGGGUUCAUUUUUUACAAUCAAGACUAGGGCUUUAAGUUUAUAGGCCUUUGUAAAGUGUAGUAGCUCUGUCCUGCGUAGCUCAACCAUGGCAGACAGCAACGAGAAUCAGCAUGACAAAGGCAAAGAGCAAGAGCAAUAUGGUGUCCUGCUUUACUACAAAUACACAGAAAUCCCUGAUCUCAACUCCCUCCUCUCCUUCUACAAUUCCAACUGCACUUCCCUCUCCCUCCUUGGCCGUGUCCGCCUCUCUCUCCAUGGAGUCAAUGUCACUGUAAUGCGCCCAACUCAAUAACCCCAACUUUUUGCAGUUUAAAUCUCAAAAGUUUGAAUCAUUUUGGUUAUUAAAAUUUUGGGUUUCCUUUGUUUUCUUCAAUCAUAUCACAAUCUCAUUGAAAAGUUUGAAACCUUUUGCUGUUUGGGAUUUUGGGUUUAGUUAUUUGAGUCCAAAAAUUGGAAAGUUUGGAACUUUUUGCUUAUUAGAAUAUUGGGUUUCUUUUGUUUUCUUCAUUGGUUUAAGUUGGAGGCAAGUUGUCUUCAUUGGAGAAACAUAUUGAAGCUGUGAAAGCUAUUAGUUUAUUUGAAGGGACUGAUUUCAAGCUUGCUUCUUGUCAUUUCCCAUUGAAUGACAAGGUUGCUCAUGAAUGUGGCUUCACUUCUCUUUCCAUUCGCAUUGUCAAGGUAUGAAUCUUUGUUCUAUCAAACUUUGGUUUCUAUUCGUAUCAUUGUUUUGAGCUAUUUGGUAUAGUAUAAGUUUUGAUUUGAUAUGCGUUUGUGUUUGCGUUUGCUUGCUUGGUCUAACAUCUUGAUGCGUUUUGGUGUGGCUAGGAAUUGGUUACUCUUAGCCCUUAUCCUCUUGUUAAAGCACCGGAUGUUUCAAAUGCUGGUAGGCAUUUGUCCGCUGUGGAGUUCCAUUCUCUUCUUCAAAGUGCUGGUGAGUUGUGAUUUUCUUUUUGAAAUUUUAUUGCAUGCUUUACUUUUUGGUUUGCUUUCGUUUUAUAGGCUAUGUUUAUUCUUCUUUGUAGUAUUUUGUUCUCUAAAUUUGGUUUUGUUGUUUUGAUAUGUAAGAGAAUGACUAGUAAUGGUUAACUAUGUGUUGGGUGAUUCUGUUUAUGUUUCUCAGGGAAGCUUGUAGAUAAAGAAAGUCUAGUUGAUGAUAAAGGUCUUGUUUUAUUAGAUGCAAGGAAUCUGUAUGAGACGAGAAUUGGGAAGUUUGACAUGCCAAAUGUGGACACUUUGGAUCCUGGAAUCAGACAGUAUAGUGAUCUGCCAUCCUGGAUAGAUGAUAAUUCUGAACAAUUGCGAGGAAAGAAUGUCCUGAUGUAAGUGCUUGUUCCAAAAUUGACUUUUUAUUGGUGUUGACCUGAACUUCACUCUGUUUUCCAUCUGAUUUGUAAAAUCAUGUUAUCAUGGUUGAAAGUUGGUGCAGUUAUGGCUUCAAACGCCCAUUUUUCCACUCUAAUCUUAGUAUGUUUUGUUUGGGUGCUGUGUAGGUAUUGUACUGGAGGAAUCAGGUGUGAGAUGGCAUCGGCCUAUAUUAGGUCAAAAGGUGCUGGAUUUGAGAAUGUAUUUCAGGUAAGCUUGGGAUCCAGCAGAAGCUAGUGUUAUGCUUACCUUGACCAUAAGAUCCUGAGGAAGUUAGGUCCUGAUUGUUGAUCGAUGUACUGAUAUAUUUUGCAAUGCUGGCUUUGUUGCAGUUGUUUGGUGGAAUACAGCGUUAUUUAGAACAAUUUCCAGAUGGUGGUUUUUUCAAAGGAAAGAAUUUUGUUUUUGAUCACAGGUAUGAUUGCUCAGAGUAAUUGCGACCCUAUUGAUUUUAAAGUUUUUACCUUAUCCUUUGGUGAUUGCAUAACAUCAUGCUUUUAUUGAACUUUCUGGUGUUCAAUAAAAGAAAACAAGCAAAGAAAAAGAAGUGUCGAUUUGCCGAGUAAUUUUGUAUUGUGGCUGUAGGAUUUCUGUUGGGAGCUCAGAUACAAAUAUCUUGGGAACCUGCCUUCUCUGUGGCUUAUCCUUUGAUGAUUACUCUUCACGAUGUAGAUGCUCAUAUUGUAGAAUGCUAGUAUUGGUCUGUGAUAGUUGCCGGGUAAGUUUUGAUGACUAGAGUCCUUCUACCAUUGAAUGUUAAUAUUUCUGACCAUUUAAGCAUGUCUAUCAUACUUUAGCUAGCUCCAUCUUGUCCAGUGAAUAUUCUAAGAACCUUAACCAAUGCUUCUCGAUUUUUAUCUAAAGUGAAACUUAAAAUAAUAGCUUUUCAGAUUUUCAUUUUCCCUUCUAAAAACAAUCAUUGCCUAAUAUGUAUGUGUUUUGAUGAACUGUUUGUUCAGCUCCCAUGCCGCUUGUAGGUUUCUGUAUUUUGUUGGGUCUUAUUUGUUAAUUUUUGUGGGUGGGCAGAAGGAGGAAGCUGUUUAUGCUUGCGAGCUGUGCCAAAAACAUGGAAAGGUAAUUGAGUCAAAUGUUGCUGAAAAUGGUGAACAGCAAAAUAUAUUGCCUCAAGUUGAGCUCAAAACCAUUUCCUCAGAUACUAUCCUCUCGCCUCAACUUCAUGGGGAACAGGGUAAGGUCUGUCUCCUUAUCACUUGGAUUGUUUUGGUUCCGUGUUUACCAAGAUAACAUGUAGUACAAUGGUGUAUUUAUCUUGGCUAAUAGUGAACAUCUGUCUUUUUUUAUCCCUGUUACAUCUUUCAUUUUGUUUUCUUCCAAGAACUUCUCAGUCUUAAUGUAAUUGUUCAUCCAAUAAAACAGGUGCUAGACCUCCAAGAAAGCUAAGAAUCUUGUGCUUGCAUGGGUUUCGGCAGAAUGCAUCUGGUUUUAAAGGAAGAACUGCAUCAUUAGCCAAGAAACUUAAAAACAUUGCUGAGCUUGUCUUUGUUGAUGCACCUCAUGAGUUGCCUUUCAUAUACCAGCCAUGUGUCUCGGAACUAGAGUGCAGUGAUGAAUCAUCAUUUUCGUCACAACAAAUUCUCCCCCCAACAGAAACUUGCAGGGGAAAGUUUGCGUGGUUGAUAGCACCUGAUUCCAAAGGAAGGAGUGCAACUGAUUGGAAAAAGGCAGAUAGUCCAUUUGAUCCCCUCCAGUACCUGCAGCAAACUGAAGGGUUUGAUGUAUCAUUAUCGUAUUUAAAGACAGUAUUCUCUCGGGAUGGGCCAUUUGAUGGGAUCCUGGGAUUUUCUCAAGGAGCAGCGAUGGCUGCUUUACUUUGUGCACAAAAAGGGAGGCUAAAAGGUGACAUUGAUUUCAGAUUUGCAAUUUUGUGUUCUGGGUUCGCUCUUCCAUUUGUGGAGAUUGAGAGUGGAUCGAUUAACUGCCCCACUCUCCAUAUAUUCGGAUGUGUUCCAGGCAAGGACAGGCAGAUUGCAAACAAAACAAGCAGAGAACUUGCUUCAUUAUUUGAAGAUGGUUGCUCAGUAAUUAUUGAGCAUGAUUGUGGUCACAUCAUUCCUACUCGGACUCCAUACAUCGAUGAAAUCAAAGGCUUCCUUCAACGCUUUCUGUAAUGCGAUUAAAAAUCCUUUGUUAACCAAUAUGGUUACUUUAAGAUGGCUUCUCAGCUAUUACCUGAUCCGUAUUUGCUUGUUACUCAUUACACCAUUUUUCUUCAAUCACUUGCAAAUACAAUUUAAUUCCAAGAUUUAUCUUUUUAUUAAAAAUAUUUUCGAAGUCCAUUGAAGCCCCUCAACUGAGAAUUUAAGAUUUGUACAACGUACAGACGGAAAUACUUCAUAAAAAACAGAGGAGAACAGUCACUCGUCUGCCUCAUAGAAGACCAGACAACGAACACGCAAGUUCUUCAGAAUGAAAACUGAGAACCAACAAAUCCUAAAUUUAGAUUUUUUGGAAUAAAAACUUUCAGCUUGUGUUUGGAAUUCUGAAGCAUUAUGGUUCUUAUAUCUUUACUUCAGCCAAUUGAGCCAAACAACAAAGCUGAUGGUUUCUAUAUGCAUUUCUCAGGAAGAGAUUUACAGUCAUAUACAUGAAACAAACAAGUAUGAAGCUUUGCCGACCUGGUGUUAGCAUUCGGCAAAUACACACAACUAUUCGUUAUGAACUUGAAAUCUAGAUUUUCGUUAUGACCUGGUCUUGUCAAUUUUUAUUUUCAACACGAAAAAUAGAUGCAUGAGUGUUAUGAUAUAUGCUUAGCAACCUGAAUUCCUUGGUGAUGAUCGGACAGGGGCUGGGAUGAACAUAUGGACCAGGGUAGUUUGGGCCACGUACUCACCUCCAGAAACUCCAAAAAAAAACUUGUUUUACAAUCGUGAGAAUCACCUCAUUGACCCAUUAGAUCAAUGACAAGCCCGAUCACUCCAAGAAUGGGCCAAUUCAUCAUUCAAUAAACCAAGUCAAGCUCAAUUACUUCACUGGCCUAAAAUCACAUUCCAUGGAAAACCUAAUUUAGUAUGAAGUUUUUAUAACCUCAUCAGAUGGCCUCAAAUUCUAUUAUUAGCAGAAAAAAGAAACCAUCCAGGCAUUUCAUUGUUGUGGGAAUUACGUAGAUUAAUAUCAUCUGCUUCCCAUGUUGGAAUGUUAGGGUGUGUAUUUGUUAUAUAUACUUGCAUGUUGUAGCAAACAAAGCUCAUUUAUAGAUAAACAUUUCCAUUUUCCAGCUAUAAUUAUCGGAUUUGGCUUGAGAUUUGACCCAGUUUAGAGCUCGGUUUAUUAGGUUAUUGGAUUAACUCAUGGUCACUAAGUCAUUCCAUAUUACUUCUAAUUCGACACUGUUUUGAAAAUUAAAAAAAUAAAAUUCAUUCGAGUUAACUUAUGGAUCGUGAAUCAAUUAUAUAGUCAUCUAAAUUUUAACUGAAUUAAUAUUUAAAAUAUUCAAAAUAAAACCUAAUCUAGAUUGACGACAAAUUAUUGAAUCGACCAGUCGGUCGGACAGGCCGAGCAGGGAUGGAUAUAUAUGUCCAUGAUAAUUCUAACACCAGCUACGAUCGUCCAUCGAAGCAAGUGUUGUAAUCAAUCAGUGUCAGUACUGUUUCUACCCUUUUUGAGUUGCUUAAGAACUAAGAUGUUGUUGUAAAUAAUAACAGUAAAGGAUGUUAAGAGUUAGCUGAGAACCACGGAGCAUCAUUUUGAGGUCGGAGCUUCACGCCCUCACCGCCCAAGCAGCACCAUCAAAACAACCAUCUAGAUGUACAAAACUACAAAGGCUCCUGGGGAUAAUCCAAGCAUGCAACUAUUUGGGUUGGUAGCUCGUCUAUUUCUGCACAUGGAAAGAAGCUUCAGACUUGUGUUUUCUCUCUUUUCUUUCACUCACGCAAGCAACCGAUCGUGAGCAUGAAGUGUUUUGACUUUUGGGCGUAGUCUGAAUCAAUGAAAUGCUUUCCUUCUUGUGUUUUUUUUAUAUGAUGUAUUGUUGAAGUGUUCUUUAUUAGUAAAAAGAAAUAGAAAUCUCAUUACAUGCCUUGAUCGGUAAAUUCUGAAGAAAGUAGAGUGGAUUAAGUUGAGAAAACCUGCACUAAACCUGAUAUGAACUGAGUUUAAUGAUAUAUUGAUUCGAUAAAAUUAAGUUGAUAUUAAAGAAAAGUUUUUUAAAAUAAAACGAAACUGCUUUAAUAAAAAUAAAUAACCUUAAUUGAUUUUUCCUUCGGUAGGUUGUAACAAUUGAGCCAGGAGUCUACAUCCCAUCCAUUUUUUACGGUCCGGUCCAGAUAGGUACUUCCCUUCCUGCGAAAGCCAUUAGGACACGUCAUGCAAGAAGCUAGUUGCUCUGCAGCUUGCAGAUUACAUUAAUGACAUGUUUGGAAUUGUAAAUCUGAAAAAUAUAUUCAGACUCGUCGUAAUUCAUAUAGAAAAUCCUUGAAUUUUACUAAGCUUUCAGGAGCUGGGAUUAGUUCCUGAGUAGCUCCAUGCCAAAAGAAGUAGAACACACAGUCCUUGCUAAACAACCGCAGUCAUGGAAGAGUUAAGGAAGCUCAAAAUAAUCUGGAAGUUGCUUCGUGUGAUCCACUUAAAAUUGUCAUUGGGACAAGACAAUGUCUUGUUGCCCUAAUUUCUAACUCUAAAAUCGUUUUACGACACAUUGGGCUUUCGCUACAUUGAUGUGAUCGGAGCGCGGAAGCAGAGUUAUACAGAAGCUGCUUCCGGUUGACAAUUCCCUCGAACAGUUGAAGAGUCAAUACAAUUGCUCAUUGCCUCAUCUCACUCCACAGGUAUUUUCAGGCCUGUAUCCUUUUUCACGUUGGAGAGGUAGGACAACGCCAUGGUUCUCAUUCCUGAGGCCUUUUCCCUCGUUUACCUCCUCUAUUCUUGUGAAACUAUAUAUUUAAAAAUAAACUCAGGUUAAUCUAUUAAUUUAUAGGUUGAUUUAUCAACCCGCAACAAGGAUAUUAAACCGUGAACAAUUGAGUCGGGUAUACUAACUAUGGCUACAUUAUUGCCAUUUUGUUCUGGUUAAUUAAUUUUAUUAUGCAAUCUCCAAUAAAUGGCUACGGUCAUGUUCACACCAAGAAGAACUUUAUAUUGACAGAUGCUUAUCGUUUCUUUUCCCCUGAUCGAUGUGAAAGAUGAUACCAUGUUUAGUUUUUUGGGGUGGCCGUAGGAUAAUAAAACAUUCGUUCUUUUUUUUUUUUUUUUUUUUGAGAAGUAUAAUAUUGCAUUAGAAGACGCCAAUAGAUGACGGGAACAUAGAGAUUCUGUUUACAGGACACCUAAACAGAACUAUGCAAUGAAAUGAACAACAUACCAAGAAACGAAAAGAACAAAAUGCAGCUACAAUAUACAUAUUUGAAGCCAAGAAAUCAAAGAAGCAGCUAAAAGAUGCAGAUUUGGAGCCACACCAGGAAGAGAAGCCAAACAGACUUCUACCGAUAUCCAGAUUAGAAGAAAAACAAAAUCUUUCCAUCUUGCAUCUUCUUAUCCAAAACAAAAUACCAGCCAUGGACUCUUCACAGAACAACCUUUGACAACUUAACAAUAAGAGAACCAAGAUACUCGACGCAUUAACAUAGAAAAAACCAUAGCAGGCAAAAGGAAGCCCAUCAACAGAAGCCCCUAGACUUGCAACAUCAAAAUCUGAAACCAAGAAGUUUCACAAAAGACAAAGAUCUGACCAGCUGGAAUUGCUUCUGUAUAGCUAGAUGAUUCUUCUCCUUUCUAGAAAUAGAGUAAUCUGGGAAACAAUCCAGUUUCCUUAGCAUCCGUAACCAGAAUUUAAAGAAAAAAAAAGGCCCAAAUAUCAAGCAGAUUAGAGCCAAGCGACCCAUUCAGAGUUUCUAAACACCCCCUCUUUUUUGCCAUGUGAUCUGCCAUAUGAUUACUCUCAUGAAGAGAAUGAGUGAAUGUGAGUGAACCAAAACAUGAAGCUACUCUCUGAAUAGAGGAGAAAAGAUUAUGAUGCAACCAAGGUCUAUUAUGAGGGUUAUUCAUCCAGCUAAUGACAUUGGUCGAGUCAGAUUCAGCAAUAAUUUGUUUAUGAUGCAGAUGACAGUUAGAAGCUGAUAAUUCAAUAGCUUUGACAACCGCUUUUAGUUCAGCUACAUUAGAGUCUAAAAUCCCAACUGGCAAGGAGAAUAUACCAAGAAGAAUCCCAUGAUGAUUUCGCAAGACUCUGCCUAUACCUGAGGAUCCCGGCUUCCCAAGAGAGGAACCAUCCACAUUCCAUUUGAAGCAAUUAGUCAUAGGGGGAGACCACACAACAACUGCUCUAUGAUUUGAAGAAUUAGUCCAUCGAACUAGCCCUUCUAUUGACCUUAUUAAUUCUGAAGUGGAAUAAGAGAAAUCAGGCUCUAUAGCCUUUAUCCAAAAGCAGAGACGAGUAAUAAUAAGGAUAAACAAAGUAUCAUAAUUCGGGGUUGUUUGCUUGAAUAUUGCAUCAUUACAAAGAAGCCAAAGAGACCAUGUCAUUGAAAAGAACAACAUCAACCAAGCUUUUUUUUGAAAUUUUCCAUAAACCAAGGAAUCCCACUGAGAGAAAAGAGCCGCCAAGUCUUUUGGGCAACACCACGCUAAGCCCCACCAAUUGAUAAUUUUAAACCAAACUAUCCAAUUUUUAUGACAAUGCAGCAAUAUAUGAUCCACCGAUUCUUCCUCAACAAAGCAAAUUGGACAAGCAGCAACUGAGAUGUUCAAAAUUCCUUUUCUGACCAGCAUACUACGAGUAUUAAUUUUUUUUAAUUAUAGCCAUUCAGCAAACAUUCGUUCUUGUUUGGUAAUGAAAUGAAAGAGAGUUCCACCACUGUUGGUCGUGCGAGGCCUCGCCUUUAUGUUACAUAUUUAUGCUGUUCCUCACCUACUUCCUAACAAUGGGCUGAUCUCUCCCCCCACCUCUUCACUGAGUCUGCUUCUUGAUGAACAGACAGUAACAUCGUCUUCUUUUUUCCAUGAAUGUGCUGCAAUUUGUAUUAUCAUCUCUUAUUACUCUUUCUGAUGCGGCCAAGCCUGAUUAGAUUAGGAAUCAGAGAAGAAGAUGAUGGAAAAAUCACAAAAAAAUUUCAAAAACAAGAAGCCUGCUCGUGCUGUUGUUUCUCGAUAAUUUAUUCUGCCAAAAUCUUCUCCAGGAAAAAUAAAAGGAUAAUAAUAGCUUAAACUGUAGCUGUCCGAACGUAAAAGGAAAAAAGGGAUCUUGGUAGGAAAAUAAAAUCAAAAGUCCAAAAUUAAAGGCUAAAACAAUAAAAUUGAUUAAAACAAUAUUUUUAUAGGCUUAAUUUGAAGGAGCCAAUUAAAUUUACUAUCAAAUCUAAGACCUAUUAAUUUUUUCAAGUUGACUUUGAGUAACUUAUUAAAUCUAACACCUAAAAUUUGCUCUAGAUUAAUUCUUGAAUCGGUUUAAAAACUAUAUAUCUAGUAAUGAUCACACGAGGAUGUUAAGAAAUAUUAAACCUAGAUUCUAAAUUUUACCAUGCACUAAAAGCAUCUCUUGAAAUUCAAUCGCUAAACCAUAAGAGAUGAUCUAAAAUUUAGGAAAGCUUUGCCACUACCCAAUUUAACCCAAACCUAUAGCUCAAGAUUAUAGUUUUUAUAAUCCAUUAAGGCUAUGUUUAUUUACUUGUAGUUUUUGUAUUUUCGGUGCAAAAAACAUAAUAAGAUAUUUGAUAACACACCAAACUAUGUUUUUUUUUUUUUUUAUUGUGGGGCUUACUAAAAAAUUAAGUUUGAAACGCAGUUUUUGAGAAACAAUUUUUACAUGUUUUUAUAACUGAGUUUCGUAAAAGAGUUUCGUAAAACUCUGUUUGUUUUUGCGUUUCAAAAGCACUUUUGAAAAAAAUUAUUUUUUUUUUACUUCAAAUUCAUUUUUUUUUGUUUUUAUAUCAUUUUGAUGCGCUGAUAUCAAAAAUAAUUUUUAAAAAAUAAAAACUUAUUAUGAUACAUUUCCAAAUAAAAAACACUUUGAAAAAUAACUGCAAUCACACAACUACCAAAUAUUUUAUACAUAUUUUUUAUUGUAUAUAAACCUCAACCAUAAUUUUUACUAAAUACAUAUCUAAAUAUAACUAAUUAACCACAUAUAACAAUACUUUUUUAAAAUUUAUUUUUAAAAAAUUAUAAUUAUGAAAAUUAUCUAAAAAACAAACGGCACUCUCUAAGUUGUCCUCUGAACAAGGUUUUAGAAAGCAAUCAAAGUAGAUAAACGACAAGACAAAAGAAUCACUUUUGAGUUGGCAAGGUCCAACCUUCAGACAAACAAAGGACCCGACAUCACUAGGUGUGCUGGGUUGUGUUGGACCCUAAACAGUGAAAAAGAACAAACGUUCUUGGCAGUUAGCAAAUUGUUGUUCAAAUAAAAUAAAUAAUCACAACAAAAAAGCAAACAUGUCUUCCUUUAUUUUUGCAAGAAUCAAGUUGACUCUCAACAUCCAGAAAAUUGUUGGGUUUGGAAUUUGUGUUGCAAUGGUUAUUCCACGCACUUGCAUCUCCAUGUUUGCAGGCUGGGGAUAAGGACCUCUCCCUCCACUGUAGCUUCGCCAGUGACCACACAGUCUACCCCCAUUCUGGGGUUCAAGCUAUGGUUAUUCAUCAUUAAUAACAUUAUAAAAAAGAUUAAGUUGUUACAUGAAAUUAAUUAUUUAAUAAAAAAAAUAAGUUGUUAAUGAAAUUUAACUGUUCUUCCUUCAAAGCCGAUCCAUUCAAUUCUCAACGUGAUUCGUUCUGAAGUAACUACUAUAACCUUAUCUUUAGAGUGUGAUUCCAAAGCUGCAGUAGAAAAGGAACCUAUGACCUGAUGAUUCAUAUCCAUUAUGGAAUAACUAUUACCUUAUCUUUAGAGUGUGAUUCCAAAGCCUAACUAUGAAGGUGAAAAUAAAAAAAUCAGAAGUUCAUGUUUUAGUUCAUGACUCUAGGGACUUUGAUUUGGAGUGAUUCUCAAAAAAUAAUUUGAAGGUGAAAAUACAAGCCUCUCAAUUAUGCAUUUGGAACAUUAAAUUUGAGAAUCAAUAGCAAUACAAAGUUAACUAGUUGCUGAAACAGCAAUAAAAUUUUUAAUAAUAGUUUGUCCAUUAUUAUAUAUAUAUAAAGGGCAUCAAAUUUAAACAAUUCUAGUCUCAUGAAAGUAACUUUUAAUUCCAACCUUCAUUUGCAAAUCUUAAUUAAAAAAGAAGGAAUACAGUAUAUUAUGCUUUCAAAAACUACACAAGCCACUCAAUUAUUUUAGCUUUGGAGGCAACGUAAAGAAAACAUCAAAGCUAUUAGCCAGACAUGGGAAACUAGGAAGGAGAAUUUGCUUAGAACUUUGAUAAUAGAACUGACGCAUGCUGACCAAAUUUUGUUCUUAGCCAACCUAACUGGCAACCAAAACCAAACACUUUACAGCAAAGUAGCUUAUUAUACAAAGAUAACACUUGACAACAAAAACUUUUGAUUUGAUAGCAACCCCACAUUUCAAAAAUGGGACUAAGCUAUUCUUUUUACUGUUUAACAGUUUUGAACACAAAUGAACCCGUGCAGCCAACCUUAACCAGUUCAGUUUGUGGCUUAGUGGAGUCAAAUGAUACUGUAGAAUAGUACAGCUGCAUAGUGGAGUAUACACUGCAUGAUAUAAUCUCGAGGAAGGUAGCAUAGUGACACCACAAUUUUGCAGCCAUUUGAUACAUGACAAAAAAAAAUUGAAAAAGAAGGUAGAGGCAGGAAAACUAUUUCCAAAUUCCAGUUCACCGACUCAUAGGGAAUCACCAUUCAUCAUUGUAUGACCACUUCAUCUAAACUCCCAUAGAUGCAAACUUUCCUUAAGAGGAUAUCAAAAUAUUCCUACACAUUAAGCACUCUCCGAUCACCCAUCUCGUUAUGCUAACUUGCACCUGUAUAGCAAAGAUUUUCACAGAUAUUCCUUUGCCUAUUCUCAUAAUUCCUUUCCCAAAUAUUGCAGAAAAUUGAACAAGUUAGUGAAUACUCAGCAUAAUCAAACAAGAACCAUUAAAAGGUAAGAGUCGUUAUUUAAACUACACAUCUGAUAUUAUGUAGAAAGAAUAUUUUGAAAUUAAUACAAAAGAAGUAAAGCAUCAUCAAAAAGAGUCCACAAGAUGAAUAACCUGAAAGAGCCAUAACAUCAAGGAUUCUUUGAGCUAGUAACAAUUCCAUUAAAACUACGACUAAAAGAAUUUAAAUAGAUGUUUACAAUAACCAAUUUCAUCACUCAACUUGCAAUAACUCCACAUUGUUAGAAUCUAAACAAACACAAACAUGCAUGAUUUAAAAAAAAAAAAAAACUCAUGCAAAUUGAGUUGGGGAUUAAGAAUAAUUACUUGUUGACAAGGGAUGCCUAGUUUUUUGAGCUUCAAAGUCCGAGUAACAAGAAGUUUGUGAAAGUCACCAAUUUCAGAUUCAAGCUUGGUUACAUGGGCUUCAACUCCUUUCCCUAUUCCAUUUAGAAACUCUGGAAUUCCAACUUUCACUGCAACAAAAAUAACAAAAAAGUAACAACAUUCUUCAAGCUCAGCCUCUUAUUAAUUGCAAAGAUUAAAAUCAAAGAAAAAGAAACUUACAACAGAAAAUCUAUAAGAACAUCGUUGUUCCAACAAUGAAAAACAAUGCAUCCACCAAAGAUUCAAUCUUUCAAAACUCAAAUCCAUUUUAAUCUCUCACAGAAAAUCACACAAAAAGAAAUAUCCUUUUCCAGUUACUAUUUACAUGAAAAUCAAAUUUUCUUCAUUUUACACAUGCAAAAAAUGAAAACUUUAUGAGCAGCAAAAGGGAGACAUGAAAAUUAAAGCAAAACCCACCAAUCUAUUCCCAUUUUCAAUCCAAGCAACUAAAAUCGAUUAAGAAAUUAAUUCAAGAACAUGAACUUAGUUAACGAUUACACAAAAAGAAAGAGCUCAAACGAAAAUGUUACCGAGGUAAGGAGAGGAGGAUUUGGAGAAGAAUCUAGAGAGCCCAGGUGUAGAAAUCGCUCGUUGUGGUGGGAUUGAAAAGGCCCUUUUAGUGUUUGUGAAUAUUUGCCUCCAUGUCAUUGCCAUCUCCGUAAAGCUGCUGCCUGCUACGGGGUUUUGGGGUUUUAGCAGAGCGGCCACGUUGUCCAGUGUUUUGAUGUGUUGUAAGUUUAGAAACGACUGGUCAUUGAGACAUUAGGAGGUCAUAGACGGUAUGUCAUUUAUGAUAACAAUAUGUGUCAAAUUAUAUUAUAGUCCCCAUGAAGUUUCUAAUAUUAUAAAUUAGUCCUUUUAGUUUCGAAGAAUCUAGAUAACCCAUUUGUAGAGAUUGCCUGUUGUGUUGGAACUGAAAUUAUUCUUUUUGUGAUUAUAUGCAUUCAUGCCAAGUUUUUUUACUAAAAUUAAAAGAUUAAAUAAUAUUUUUUUCUAAAAUAAAAUUGUUAGUUAAGUGUUAUCAGGAUUUAUCCAACUUGCUAACUUCUAAUAAAACUCUACUACUCAAUAUUAAUCCACAACUCUCUUAUAAAUUAUCUUCAUCAAUCAAUCCUUUGCUCUUAUCAAAAUCUUGCUCUCUUUAAUCCCUAAACAAGCUAGGUUUCUUUCGUUGUUUGUUUCUUGAGAAAACUAUGCAGAUAUUUGUGAGAACCCUGAGACUCAAAACCAUCACCCUUGAUGUUGAAAGCUCCGAGACAGUCGAAGACUUGAAAGCAAAAAUCUAUGAGAAGGAAUUAGGCAUCCGUCCUGAGAACCAACGUCUCAUAUAUUGUGGAAAGCAAUUAGAGGAAGGAAAAACCCUGUCAGAUUACAACAUCCAGAAGAACUCCACUAUCCACCAUGUUCUUAGGCUUUGUGGCGGCGGCAAGCAGCAAGCCUUUUAUUGAUCUUUCUUCAUGAUAUGGCAGAGAAAAUUCACAAAGUGCCUCCUUCUUGAUCAGUUUGUUGCUUAUUUAUCAGAGUAAGUCAUGUAGCUUUUCGUUAGUAUUUCGAAUUCUAAGAGACAAAGACAGAUUUUUUGAAGAAGACAUGGUUUUGGAGAUUGAAUUUUCUUUCGUAAACUUUUUUAAGAUUUUAUAUAUUAAUCAGUUAAGUUUCAUGAUUUUGUUAUCUAUGAUGGUUUGCCAUUAUUGUUAUUCCAUGUUAUCAUGUUAUAAUAGAUGACAUAGUAAUUAAAUCGGUUCUAGCUUAUAACCAUGCCCAAGACUUGGGAUAUAUAUCAUUUUAUUUUUUUACAAUGUUUUUUUUUUUUUUAAAUCAAAUCCAGGUGUGUAUUAAUGACUUAGAGAAAACUCAAAAAUCAGAUCUAAAUCAUUAACUAAAUGCGUUAAUGACCUGCAUUUUAGAUUAUUAAUUAAAUGUGAAUUGAUAAUUCGUAAUUUGAAUUUACCUAUCGUAUUAAUAAUAAUAUAAUUAUGAUAUAAAGAUUCUUAACAAUAAUAGCUAUCACAUGGCCCAUAAUAUACAUUUACGAAAUUGAUUUUUUUCUUGGAUGAUUUUUAUAUUUCAAUUUCAUGUUUUUAAUGAAGAUUAUUAACAAUAAUGGCUUUAACAUAUUAAUGUAACGUUUAUAUGACACCCCCCCCCCACUAGUUUAGUUCGAUUCAAUCUAAUUGAUGGUAAUAACAAAAGAUUUAAUCCCUAGUUGCCUUUUUACCGUACUAAUUCUCUACAAAGGUUAGAAAAAUUAUAAAGUUUCUUCUUGAUUACAAGUAGCUGAAACAUUAUAAUACUUCAAGUGCAAUUCCUCGAUCAUAAUCUAGAACAACGACUAUGUAAAACAAAGUUCUUGAAAAAAAAUAUGUGGCAAGAAGUGGUGGUCUUUAUCCUGUUAAAUUACUCCAUCAUUGUCUGCCAAGAAAAUGUACUUUGUCUUUCAUGACAAGGUAUAGUGCAUUCAAAACCCAAGGCUUUGGCAAUCUGUGCUUGAACAUGAUGCUACCUCCAACUUUGAUUUCUUACCGUGCUGACAUGUUGAUGCUUUUUGCCACCUCUCAAAAGUUUUGACAGUGAAAACUUACAACAGGAUUCAUCAACAGGAAUAGAGGGUCCAUGCAUUUAAAACCGCUAGCUGUACGUAGUUGCAUAGAACAUGCUAACUUGAGUAGGUGCUGAUAUAUAUAUAUAUAUAUAUAUAUAUAUAUAUAUAUAUAUAUAUAAUUUUUUAUUAUAAUAUAAUAAUAUAUAUUAUACAUUAAAACAAAAUAAAAACAAAAAAACUCUAAAACAUUCCAAAAAUCCUUUCAAAAAAUUUAUGAUUUUCUUGUGUAUUUUUUUAUCAAUUUUAAUUAAUAUUAGUUUGUAUUUUUAUAAUAUAAAUAUAUAAUGUUUUUUUUUGGACCGGGUACAAACCAACCCAGCUAUUCAGGUUGAGCUAGAACUAAACCGUCCAAGACGGGGGGUUAAAUAUUCCCCCUGUCCCUCCUUCCUGCAUGCAGAAUGAAUUCUGCAUGCGGGCGCGGCUUGAAGCCGAGGGAAAAUAGAAGGGGAGAAGAGAAAGUUGUGGGGGGGGGGGGGGGGAACCUGGUCGUAGCUAGCUGUCACGGUGAUGGUCAUGCCGUGGAAUAUGCCGAGCGGCUGGUGGUAGUUGCGGCGGAGCUGGCAGCGACAGGUGGUGGUUGUUGCCUUUCUCCUCCACUGUGCAAAGACACAGGGAUCUCUUUUUUUUCUUUCCCUCUUCUGCUUUUAUUUCUAUUAUUUCCACCCCCUCGUCUCUUUUCUAUUUCUUCCCUCCUGGUUCUUUUUUUUUCUUUCCUCUUCUCUUCCCCUCCUCUGUUCUCCCAUGUUUUUCUUCCAACUCUCAAAAUUCCCCCCUCCUGUUUUUUCGUCUCUGCCUCUGUCUCAUUUACCUCCCCAAAACCAUUCCUCCUCUAAAACUUCCCCCAGCUUCUGUUAUUUAUAAGUGCAGGGGAGAGGUAGCCACCCUAUCCUGUACAAGCGCAAGGUAAGGUGGCAUGGGGUGGGUUUUGUUUUGUUUUUUUUCCAAACAGUAUAUGAAACGGUGAUGAUGCGGCCAAAAUGAGCCAUUUUAUUUUAAAAAAUAACGCCAAAAUAUAUCAAUUAUAAAUCGAUCCUCAAUUUUUGAUUUGUUUAACUAAGUUUUCAAUUUCAAUUUUUAUUUUAAAAAUUAAUUCAAUUAUAUCCCUGUCAAAUUCUAAUUUCAUCCAUAAUGUUGGCCAAUGUUUUCAUUUUAGUCCUUGGUCAAAGAUUUAUGCAAUUUGACCCUCAAUUGAUCAACAAACUUUCAAUUUCUUCAAUUUAGCAUCUAAUUCGGACAAUUUCAAUUCCUCUAUUUAUGUGUCUUUUCUAGUUUGGUUCUUGGUUUUGGAUUUCUUCAAUUAAGUUCAUAAUUGGCCAUCAAACUUUAAUAUUUAUGCAAUUAAGCCCUUGAUUUGACCAAUUCAACUCUUGAAAAUUAUAUUUUGACCUCUGAACUUUAAUCUCUUCAAAUUAAAGCUCAAAUUCACUUAAAAAUUAAUUUUUCUUGCAAUCAAACCCUUUAUAAGUUCAAUUACACUUUCAGUUAAAUUUGCAAGUGCACAAAUCGUAACAAGUAAUAAAGUGAUGAGUAGAGUAUCGUCCCACGAGGAUUUGUAAAAAUUACUACUAAUUACCAAAGUCUUUUAAAUUAUGAUCUAUUUGAGGAAUCGAAUAAGAUAGUUUAUGAAACAAAAAUUAAUGAUUAAAAACAAACAACCAAUUGAUUAAAUAUUAAUGAAUUCAAUUGUACUGGUUCUAGGAUUUCUGACUUACCGUAACUAUGCCUACAUGAACUUUCUUGAUUAAAUUAAUUACUCCUAAUGUUGAUAAUCAGGUUUUCCUUAUGUAAAUAUUAAUCUCUCUCGAGCAUCAAUAAAUUAUUUCGACAAACAAAUUUCAUAUACUUUACAAAAUUUCUGAACUUGUCGAAAUUUAUUAAGUACUGUAAAACCUGUAACGAUUACAAAAGUUCUUAGGAUAUCUCUAUCCUAUAGAUUUCUUACGGUAUUUCAAACAAUAGCUAAAACAAUUAUCACUUCUCAGUUUCAAAUUGAAUUCUAAAUCAUGCAGAUGUUGGCCAAACACACGCAAGCAUUACACAUAGAAUGAAAUACUCAACAUCUUAAUGUAAUAAUUCAAUCGAAGAAAUUGUUCACAUAAUCAUAGUAAGGUUACAUCAAAAAUCCCAGAAUAAAAGUCUACUCCAUAGUUAAAUUAAAGAGAAACAAACUUGAUACGAUGAACAUCAAUCAAGAGCAGAGAAUUUCCGUCGAAAAGAUAGGUGUCCUCCCGGUUUUUAAUAGUUUUGCCUCUGCCCCUCUUUUGUUCCCCUUGGUGCCGCCUCCUCUCUUUUUCUUUUCUAUGUUGUAGGGUUUCUGUUCGUCCUCUCUCCUCCUUUUUCUUCUUUUAUAUUGUGGCUUUUCUACCCCUGCAGUAAUGAGGAAAGUUUCCUUUUCUGCAUUAAAUUCCUUCCUACUCAGACAUUGCGGGCCCGAUUUGAGGUAGAAAACGUGCGAAUUCAAAGAUCUCUAUUUCUGGAGAAAUUGUAGAGAAUCAAAUUUUCUUUCCAACGAAACUGAUCUUGCAAUUUUUGGACAUCUGAGGGUUGAGAUAAGGGCCAUAAACCGAAACAGUCUUUGCAGUGCAGGAAUUUCGGGCUGGUUCAAUCCUUGUUUUUCAACUCGCUUUUUGGGCUUCGAAACAACAAAACUGAGUUAUAUGCCCUUCAUAUGUUUUGUAGACCUUCAUCUCAGCUAUUUGAAAAUGGUUACGAACAUCCGAACUAAAUUGUAUAGCUUCUUUGCAGCACAUAAUGAAUCACUGUUCAGUUUCACUGCCGGCUCUGCCUGUUCAGUAACCUAAGAUCUGAAAACACAUUAAUUUCCCACGAGGUCAAUAGUUCAAAAAGAGAUUCAAAAUUCUAAUUGUCUUGUGCAACAUAUCCAAAAUAUUUAAAAAUCAAGCAUGAAUAGAAAAUAUACAUGCUAAAAAUUCCCUUAUCAAAUACCCCAAACUUGAAUGUUUGCUUGUCCUCAAGCAAAAAGGAAACCAUGAAAGCAGAGUGCUAAAAGCUCAUGAUAAGUUCAACUUUCACAUUUAAAAGGCUCCAUCAUGCAGCAUUCACUUCUUGACUUAGCUCAUAGACAAUAUUAGAUAAUGAAAAAUUAAACAUUCCUACUCUCUGUGCAGGUCGUUGUACAAACUUCCAACUCAUCCAUGUGUUUGAUGUGUUUAGCAUCCUUGAACCGUGCACAGUCAUUCCGUCAUUUUUUUUUUUGAACAAGGUAGCCAACUUUAGGAGUAAUAACACACUUUUACUUGUCUUUUGACAAGGGUGAUUUUUUUAAAUUUAUCACUUGUCUUUUGACGCGAAUACAAACAUUUGUGAUGAAUGCACCCGGUUACUUAACAGGUCAUAAACUUAAAAUGCUUUGCAUACUCAUAUUUUAAGUUGCCGUUUGACGUAAAAGUAAACAUUUGUGAUGAAUACUCCUAGUUACUAAGCAACUCAAAACAUUGGAGUAGAUACACAUCAUAUACUUAUUCAUUCACUUUCAUACUCAUUAUCACUCCUUGUUUUAAUAUUUUUCUUAGAGGUAAUAACAAGAAAGAACAACACACUUAUCUCUUAUGCAUAACUACACAAUUCACAUGACUGUGCUGGAAAAGUGUACUUCAAUAAUUCAAAAGAAAAUAGUCAUGCUUAAUCCAACUUUAUAAGAUAUCAUCCGCUCUAAGCCAAGAAAUAUCAUGGUUACAUCAUGAAGCACCUAAAAAUAUCAAAGUUGGUCUUAAAUGCAUAUCACUUUCACCCUCUGUUUUCAUGGUUCUAGUGUGCAGUGUCUUUCAUAGUCAAAGCAUGCAAUGUCUCCCCCAAACUUAAAUAUCACAUUGUCCUUAAUGGAAAAAUAAAGAAUAGAAAGGCUUACGAAUACUUCCUUUUGACUAUGUGGGUGUAAGUUUGUUGUUGCUCCUGGUUAUUUGCUUGUAUGAUCAAUUCCUGCACAAAUCAAUGAAACAAAUAAGGGUUUUUUUUUAAAAAAAAUUUCUUUUUCAUUUUUUUUCUUUUUUGGGUUGCCUCCCAAUCAGCGCUUAGUUAUAGUCAUUAGCUUUACUUUUCCAUUUAUCUAAGAUGAAGUGAGAGGGAUAUCAUCCCUUUUCCCAAUAGACUCUCCAUUCCUAUAAUGCUUCAGACGCUGCCCAUUCACUGUGAAUGUUCCCUUUUCAUCAUGGGUGACCUCUACUGCUCCAUAAGGAAAUACCUUCACAACCGUAAAUGGUCCUGACCAUCGUGAUUUGAGCUUACCAGGAAACAAGCGGAGCCGUGAAUUGAAGAGUAAUACUUGUUGACCAGGGACAAACUCCUUGCGUACAAUGUGUUUGUCAUGCCAUGCCUUGGUUCUUUCCUUGUAUAUCUUGGCAUUUUCAUAGGACUCAUUGCGAAAUUCAUCCAUCUCAUUAAGUUGCAGGAUUCUUUUCUCACCUGCAACCUGCAAAUCCAUGUUCAGUUGUUUCAUUGCCCAGUAUGCCUUAUGCUCUAAUUCAACAGGAAUAUGACAUGCUUUUCCAAAAACUAAUCGAUACGGAGACAUUCCCAAUGGUGUUUUGAAUGCUGUCCGAUAUGCCCACAAUGCAUCAUCUAGCUUUCUUGCCCAAUCUUUCCGAGAAUUACUUACUGUUUUCUCUAAGAUUUGCUUCACCUCUCUAUUUGAUACCUCUGUUUGGCCAUUUGUCUGAGGAUGAUAAGCCAAUGCUCUUUUGUGUCUGACUCCAUACUUAGAUAACAGUGCUUCAAACUGCUUGUUGCAAAAAUGAGUUCCUUCAUCACUGAUGAUGGCUCGAGGAGUACCAAAUCUGGUAAAGAUGUUCUUUCGUAGAAAAUUAAGUACCACCUUGCCAUCAUUUGUAGGCGUUGCAAUUGCCUCGAUCCACUUUGAUACAUAAUCCACUGCUAAGAGAAUGUAUUUGUUGUUAUAGGAUGAAGGAAAAGGUCCCAUGAAAUCGAUGCCCCAAACAUCAAAUAAUUCAACUUCUAGGAUAUUCUGCAGUGGCAUUUCAUUUCGUCGAGAUAUAUUCCCAGUAUGCUGACAUCUAUCACAAGCAGUAACAAAAGCAUGAGCAUCUUUAAACAUAGUGGGCCAAUAAAAACCUGACUGCAAAACUUUGGCUGUAGUGCGUUGUGUUCCAAAGUGCCCCCCAUAUUCAAGUGUGUGGCAAUGCUUCAAUAUAUUUGUCAUUUCCUCUUCUGGAACACACCUCCUGAUGACUUGAUCUGCACAAUGCCGAUAGAGUAUCGGCUCCUCCCAGAAGUAGUGUUUGACUUCAGAAAAAAAUUUCUUCUUUUGCUGGUAAGAAAAAUCUGGCGGUAUGAUCUUACCUGCAAGAAAGUUGACAUAAUCUGCAUACCAAGGAAAGAAUUUGUUAGUGGAAAUUGCUAAGAGUCUUUCAUCAGGAAAACAUUCAUUUAUAACCGUGAAUUUAGGCUCCAGCUGCUGUGUCAAUUCCAGCCUUGAAAGAUGAUCUGCCACCACGUUCUCAGUCCCCUUUUUAUCUUUAAUUUCUACAUCAAAUUCUUGCAGUAAUAGGAUCCAACGGAUGAGUCUAGGCUUGGCAUCUUUCUUAGACACUAGGUGUCUAAUUGCAGCAUGAUCAGUAUACACCAGUACUUUGUUUCCCAUCAGGUAAGGCCGAAACUUAUCAAAUGCAUAGACCACAACAAGCAACUCUUUCUCGGUUGUGGCAUAAUUGAGCUGGGCAUCGUUGAGUGUUCUGCUGGCAUAGUAUAUGGUGUGAAACACAUUAUUUUUCCGUUGCCCCAGUACUGCUCCAACUGCAUAAUCACUUGCAUCACACAUAAGCUCAAAUGGUUUCUCCCAAUCCGGUGCAAUUACAAUAGGAGCUGUCACUAACUUCUUUUUCAACAGCAUAAAGGUUGUCUUGCAUUCCUCAUCAAACUGAAACUUUGUGUCUUUUAGCAGCAGACUGCAUAGCGGUUUGGAUAUUUUAGAGAAGUCUUUGAUGAACCUCCUAUAAAAUCCCGCAUGACCAAGGAAACUCCUAACCCCUUUUACUGUAGUUGGCGGCAGAAGCUUGUCUAUUGCCUCAAUUUUAGCUCUGUCUACCUCUAUUCCUUUUUCUGAAAUCCGGUGCCCCAAUACUAUACCUUCCUUUACCAUGAAGUGACAUUUUUCCCAGUUCAAUAUCAAGUUUGUCUUUUCACAACGCUCCAAAACCAACGCCAACUUUGCAAGGCAGUCAUCAAAAGAAGUUCCAAAUACAGAAAAGUCAUCCAUGAAGAUCUCAAUGAUUUGCUCCACCAUAUCUGAAAAAAUAGCCAUCAUGCACCUCUGAAAGGUAGCUGGUGCAUUACACAACCCAAAAGGCAUUCUUCUGAAAGCAAAAGUACCAUAAGGGCAGGUGAAAGUGGUCUUCUCUGGUCCUCAGGUGCGAUGGCUAUUUGGUUGUAUCCUGAAUAGCCAUCUAGGAAACAGUAGUAUUCAUGCCCAGCUAACCUGUCCAGCAUCUGAUCAAUGAAUGGUAGGGGGAAGUGAUCUUUGCGAGUUGCCUUGUUGAGCUUUCGAUAAUCCAUGCAAAUCCUCCAUCCAGUUACCGGUCUAGUAGGUAUCAAGUUGUUGUUUGCAUCCUUUACCACUGUCAUUCCUCCUUUCUUUGGCACAACUUGAACUGGGCUCACCCAUGAGCUGUCAGAGAUUGGAUAAAUAACACCAGCAUCUAACCAUUUCAGAACUUCUUUUCGGACUACCUCUUUCAUGGUCGGGUUAAGCCUUCUCUGAUGUUCUACUGUUGGCUUGACUUCAUCUUCCAACAGAAUUUUAUGCAUGCAAAUAGAGGGACUGAUGCCUUUGAUAUCUGCUAAUACCCACCCGAGAGCUGCCUUAUGUUUUCUCAACACCCUCAACAAUUUUUCUUCCUCUGUUUUGGUCAGCUUUGCAGAGAUUAUCACAGGAUAGGUGGAAGCUUCUCCAAGAUAUGCAUACCGAAGGUGUUCUGGCAGAGGUUGCAAUUCCAGAACCGGUGCUUGUUCACUGGUUGAUUUUAUUUUUGGUGCUGGUUGUCCCAAAUCUUCAAAGUAUCUUUUGUGGUUAGGUUCAAAAGAGUCCAUCCAACAUGAAUAUUCUGCUAUUUCAGCAUCCUCUUCCAGUACAUUAUUUACCAAACAUGCUUCCAACGGGUCGGUUGGAAGCUUAACUUUGUUGUUAAUUAAGGAGUCCACCACUUGAAUGCUGAAGCAACUCUCCCCUAUAUCUGGUUGUUUGAUGGCUUUGAACACAUUGAAAAUCACCUCCUCUUCAUUCACCCUUAACCGCAGCUCCCCUUUCUUCACAUCAAUUAACGCACCUCUAGUGGCCAAGAAUGGCCGGCCAAGCAAGAUAGGAAUCUCAUUAUCCUUCUCCAUAUCCAGUAUGAUAAAGUAUGCUAGAAAGAUGAACUUGCCCACUUUCACCAGUACAUCUUCAAUUAUUCCCCUUGGAUGCUUCAAUGACCUGUCAGCUAGCUGUAGUGUUACUGUGGUUGGCCUUGUUUCACCUAAACCAAGCUUCUUAAAAAUAGAUAAAGGCAUGAGAUUAAUACUUGCACCUAAAUCACAUAAAGCUUUUUCAAAUAUAGAAUUUCCAAUGGAACAUGGUAUAGUAAAACUCCCUGGAUCCUUAAGUUUAGGAGGCAGUUUCUUCUGCAAAAUAGCACUGCAUUCCUCAGUAAGAGCGACAGUCUCAUAUUCCUCUAGCUUUCUUUUGUUUGAGAGGAUGUCCUUCAGAAAUUUCACAUAGCUUGGCAUUUGUUCAAGAGCAUCUGCAAAAGGAAUGUUAAUCUGCAAUUUUUUAAACACAUCAAGAAAUUUAGAAAAUUGCUUAUCAAGUUUAUUCUUCUUGAGACGUUGUGGAAAUGGAAUUCUAUGCAUUAUUUCUUGCAUUGGUUCUGGCAGAGGAUCAGAUUUUUUCAUAUUCUGAAUUGGUUCGGCCAUUUGCUCCUCUACUUCUUUUUUUGCACUCUUGUUUCCAGCAGUCUGCUCCACUUCUUUUCCACUUCUUAAAGUUAUGGCCUUGCAUUGCUCCUUAGGAUUAAUUUCAGUUGUGCUUGGUAGAUUUCCUUGUUGUCUACCCGUGAGCAUGUUGGCUAACUGACCAACCUGAACCUCCAAAUUUCGAAUUGAGGCUGCUUGGUUCUGCAGAUUGGUAUUUGUUUCAGUCAUGAAUCUGCUGGUGUUGUUUGCUAAUUGUGUCAUAGCUUCUUCAAGUUUUGAUUUCUCUUUCAUGUGCUCACUUGAAGAUGGCAUGGCUGGAUUCUUCAUGACAGUUUGAUUGUUCCACGAGAAAUUAGGAUGAUUUCUCCAACCGGGAUUAUAUGUUGCACUGUAGGGGUUGUUCUGCCGGCUGUAUUUGACACAAAAUGAGCAUGCUCUGCUUGAGAGAAUGGGUUCCCAACCUGACACUCUUCACUGUGUGAUUUCCAUGCAAAAAUCACACGUUGUAUGGAUGGCAUUUGCUGACAGUUGAGUGGUUUUCAGUUGCUGAGUUAGUGAAUGGACUUGAGCUGUUAAUGUCGUGAUUGCAUCAAUUUCGUGCACCCCAACAGUCUUUUCUGUAUGCUUCUUUCAUUUGGCCAUUGGUAAUUGUUCAUAGCCAUUUCUUCCAAUAAGUUGUAAGCAUCAUCCUGUGACUUACUCAUAAAAGCUCCUCCUGAAGCUGCAUCAAUUAGUGUUCUUGUGGAGGCAUUCAAUCCAUUGUAAAAAUUUGCACCUGCAUCCACUUCGGUAGUCCAUGGUGGGGGCAUCGCCUGAGCAAAUCCUUGUAUCUCUCCCAUGCCUCAUACAAUGGUUCACUCUCAAGUUGGGCGAAGUUAGCUAUCUCAAUGCAUUUUUGCUGUCUUGGCUGGUGGAAAAAAUUUAGCAAGGAAUUUCUGAGCUAAAUCUUCCCAGCUGAUAACUGAAUCUGCAGGCAUGGAGUUUAACCAGUUCUUCGCUCUAUCUCGCAAGAAAAUGGAAACAAUCUGAGGCGAAUGGCAUCAUCAGUAACGCCAUUAUGCUUAAAUGUGUCGCAAAUUUCCAAGAAACUUGCAAUAUGGGCGUUAGGAUCAUCACUUGGCAACCCAUAAAACUGAACUGAGGUCUGAAUCAUCUGCAGUAUUGCUGGUUUGAUCUCAAAAUUAUUGGCCUCAAUCCUUGGUUUCCUGAUAACAGAACGGAUUCCUGUCACCUGUGGGAGAGCAAAAUCUCUCAAUGCCCGUGUAUCUUGCUCAGGAUUUUCAUUGUCUGCCAUGAUGCUGAACUGUUUGAGUCUCUCGUGUUUUCUUUCUUAAUCCCCUUGCAGUUCUCUCAAUCUCAGGAUUAUAAGGUAGCAACGGCUGUUUUUGUUGCUUCUCAUGCACUAGACACACACCUAAAGAGCUGAAGACAAAAGGCAAUCAAAUUAGAUCAAAUUUAAUUUAUAUUGAUAUUAUUAGUAAUUUUAUCUAAAAUCCCCGGCAACGGCGCCAAAAACUUGUUGGUUAAUUUGCAAGUGCACAAAUCGUAACAAGUAAUAAAGUGAUGAGUAGAGUAUCGUCCCACGAGGAUUUGUAAAAAUUACUACUAAUUACCAAAGUCUUUUAAAUUAUGAUCUAUUUGAGGAAUCGAAUAAGAUAGUUUAUGAAACAAAAAUUAAUGAUUAAAACAAACAACCAAUUGAUUAAAUAUUAAUGAAUUCAAUUGUACUGGUUCUAGGAUUUCUGACUUACCGUAACUAUGCCUAUGUGAACUUUCUCGAUUAAAUUAAUUACUCCUAAUGUUGAUAAUCAGGUUUUCUUAUGUAAAUAUUAAUCUCUCUCGAGCAUCAAUAAAUUAUUUCGACAAACAAAUUUCAUAUACUCUACGAAAGUUCUGAACUUGUCGAAAUUUAUUAAGUACUGUAAAACCUGUAACGAUUACAAAAGUUCUUAGGAUAUCUCUAUCCUAUAGAUUUCUUAACGGUAUUUCAAACAAUAGCUAAAACAAUUAUCACUUCUCAGUUUCAAAUUGAAUUCUAAAUCAUGCAGAUGUUGGCCAAACACACGCAAGCAUUACACAUAGAAUGAAAUACUCAACAUCUUAAUGUAAUAAUUCAAUCGAAGAAAUUGUUCACAUAAUCAUAGUAAGGUUACAUCAAAAAUCCCAGAAUAAAAGUCUACUCCAUAGUUAAAUUAAAGAGAAACAAACUUGAUACGAUGAACAUCACUCAAAAGCAGAGAAUUUCCGUCGAAAAGAUAGGUGUCCUCCGGUUUUUCAAUAGUUUUGCCUCUGCCCCUCUUUUGUUCCCUUGGUGCCGCCUCUCCUCUUUUUCUUUUCUAUGUUGUAGGGUUUCUGUUCGUCCUCUCUCCCCUUUUUCUUCUUUUAUAUUGUGGCUUUUCUACCCCUGCAGUAAUGAGGAAAGUUUCCUUUCUGCAUUAAAUUCCUUCCUACUCAGACAUUGCGGGCCCGAUUUGAGGUAGAAAACGUGCGAAUUAAAGAUCUCUAUUUCUGGAGAAAUUGUAGAGAAUCAAAUUUUCUUUCCAACAAAACUGAUCUUGCAAUUUUUGGACGUCUGAGUUGAGAUAAGGGCCAUAAACCGAACAGUCUUUGCAGUGCAGGAAUUUCGGGCUGGUUCAAUCCUUGUUUUUCAACUCGCUUUUUGGGCUUCGAAACAACAAAACUGAGUUAUAUGCCCUUCAUAUGUUUUGUAGACCUUCAUCUCAGCUAUUUGAAAAUGGUUACGAACAUCCGAAACUAAAUUGUAUAGUUUCUUUGCAGCACAUAAUGAAUCACUGUUCAGUUUCACUGCCCGGCUCUGCCUGUUCAGUAACCUAAGAUCUGAAAACACAUUAAUUUCCCACGAGGUCAAUAGUUCAAAAAGAGAUUCAAAAUUCUAAUUGUCUUGUGCAACACAUCCAAAAUAUUUAAAAAUCAAGCAUGAAUAGCAUAAAUUAUACAUGCUAAAAAUUCCCUUAUCAUUUUUUAUUCCACAAAAUCAAAUCAAUUGUUCAGAACACAAUAAGUAUGAAGAAAAAGCAAAGUAGUUUACACAGCAAGUUGAAGGAUUUGACUAGUGACACUGAUUGUGGAUCCAAAGUUCAAAAUAAAACAAAUCCCGAUCCAGAGUUCGAGUAAACAGAUCACCAAGUUAAUAUGUCAAUCAAUGGCAGAUCCAAUGUAUGCGUGCGUCGUAGCAUUCCGAAGGAUUCAAAUUGUAAAUGAAGGCCUACAAUUUGUAUAUUUUUCAAUAGGUAACCAAACACUAGUAUGAAUGCGUUAAGAGAGUUGUUAGAAAAUCAAAUGCUCGAACAAAUGACUUUCCAAGUCUAUGAAGAAAAAAGCAAAGUAACUUACAGAAAAAGUUGGAGAAACACCCCGUUCCACAAGCUUGAAGAAAAACAUUAACAGACUAAUGAAAAUAAUUAUGGGGCCCAAGAUCAAAUCAAUUGCUCAAACAAUAAUCAUAAUUUAUUUUAAUUUUGUUAAAUUUUUAUGUUAAAAAAUUUAUGUUGAAAAAUAAUUUUUAAUAUUAAAAAUAAACGGGGUUUGUUUUUUAUUUAACUUUAAAUAUAUCAAUUAAUCAUGUUUUAGAUAAUGUUUUCAUCAAAUAAUUCAAUAUUACAAGAUUAAGCUUAGUUAAUCAUGUAAGAAACCCAUGCAUGCUUCCAAUCUAUAUAUAUAUAUAUAUAUAUAUAUAUUAUAGGAUGAUGUUACAAGUACUGAGGGAGUAUUGUUACAGCUGUUAUGGUCGCUGUUAGUGUAGAUUAAUUAUGGUAGCUGGCAGAUGCAUGGACACGUGUUAGAAAUCAUUUCACUCCGUUAACAAAAAUUAAGGAAGUGUUAGUGCAGAUUACUUAGGGUAGGCGAUAUUGAUAUUUCAAAAGAGAUAUUCUAAAUAUUUCACAAGAAAUAAAAGAGUAUAACUAAAAUUAGAUAAUGAAAUGAAUUAAAAAAAUGAAAGAAAUUUACCUCAUAAAACAAAAAAAGAGAAAUUUACAUGGGAGUGAGAGAGGUAUGCAAUAACAUAUCAAAAUGAAAAGAAGCUUUAUGUUAAUUAAUGAAAGACAAAAAAGAAUUUUUUUUUGAGUAAAUGAGCUGUACGUAUGUAUUAUAUAUUAUAUUAAAAUAUAAUUUAACAAUAACUUUUCACUUUUUUCACUUUUUCGUGUAUCAAACUCUCAUUAACCUAUUAUAUUAAUAUUAUAAUAUUAAAAAUAUAUUUUCAAAAACUUUAAGGGGCAAUUGCUCCUUUUGUACUUACGUGGCUCCACCACUGAGUGCGGAUUAUUUAGGGUAGGCGAUAUUGAUAUUUCAAAAGAGAUAUUCUAAAUAUUUCACAAGAAAUAAAAAUGAGUAGGUGCAGUAAGAAGAAAUUAUUGAUAAUACAAAUCAUUUUCUAAUCUCUUCUGCCAUGUAUUUCAUAAGAUCAAAUCAAUUGUUCAUAUACAGCACCUGACUUCCCAAGUCUAUGAAGAAAAGCAAAGCAGUAAACAAGAAGUUGAAAUUGAUAUCCUUUAAUCCAACACCACAAACCGAGCGAUCUGUGCCGUGAAGACUCUCACAUUCAAUGAAGCCCAAGUCUCCCUUGGAUAAUUCAGCACAGAAAAUUCAAUGAUACAGAUAAUUGUCACUGUCCGAUCAAAUGCAUGAAGAGGACAAAAUUGUCUAUAAGAGACAGCUUGCUUGCUUUUGUAUUUUGUCAAGUAGGAGCGUUAAUAUGAAGAUGAGGCAAAUGUGGAUGUGGAUGCUGCUCAUGGCACUGGCCUUCGUCAACGAGCGGUGCCAUUGUUGUCUAGAGGAAGAGAGAAUUAGUCUCUUAGAGAUAAAAGCUGGGUUCAGUCAUGCACGUGCAGCUGUGUCCUAUGAUCCGCUAGAAGGUUGGGAUAAAGAGCAUUUUAAUUGCUGUAACUGGCAUAGGGUUGUGUGUGACAACACCACAAACCGAGUGAUCGAACUACAUCUUUAUAGCGUAAAUUAUGUAGUUUCUCGACUCAAUGCAUUCGAAGACUUCGAUCUCAAUGCGUCUUUGUUUCUGCCUUUCAAAGAACUGGAGAUUCUCGACUUAGGCUUCAACCAAUUAGUUGGUGGCUUAAAGAACCAAGGUUCUAUGCUUUCAGUUUUUUCUUUUAGUUAACACAUAAAGUUAAUUAUAUUUCAAGUAACUUUACAUUGAAUCUUUAUGGAUAUAGGGAUGAUUCAUAUAUAUAUAUAUAUAUAUAUAUAUAUAUAUAUAUAUAUAUAUAUAUGUCUGUCAUGUUAAUUUCUUUGCUCUAACAAUCUUCUUUCAGGUUUUCAAGUGCUUGCUUCAGGGUUGAGGAAUUUGAAGAAACUUGAUCUGACAGGCAAUAGAUUUAACGAUAGCAUUUUAUCAUCUCUCAGUGGAUUUUCAACUCUCAAAUCUCUAGAUCUAUCAAGCAAUAGGUUCACAGGAUCAAUUGGUCUCAAUGGUAAAGUUGUAAAUCAUUCCUACCUCAGAUGACAUUACCUAGUAAGGUUUAAUAAUUACAUGUGUAUUAACUCUUAAGUUGUUUGGAUGAAACCUUAAAAAGGCUUUAUAUAAUUAAUUCUUUAACGAGUGAAAUAAUUUGAAACUUACAUAUACACGCUAUUAACUUUUGUUCAAUUUUUUUUUUAAUUUUUUUUAAUAAAUGAAGGUGAAUAAUUAAUUAAUUAAAUUUUAAUAUUAUAUUAAAAUUAUUUGAAUUUAAAAACUUAAGCUAUGUCUUGUAUAUUAACUCUAACAUUAUAAGUUUAUUUAAUUAUUGUAAAUCAUUAUUAUUGAUUGUUCUCUCUAUCACAGGUUUAAGGAAUUAUUUGAAUUUAAAAACUUAAGCUAUGUCUUGUAUAUUAACUCUAACAUUAUAAGUUUAUUUAAUUAUUGUAAAUCAUUAUUAUUGAUUGUUCUCUCUAUCACAGGUUUAAGGAAUUUAGAAAUCUUGAAUCUGGUAAACACUGACUUCAAGGAAAGCAUUUUGAUAGAGUCAUUGGGAGCGUUGCCAUCCCUCAAGACCUUAUAUGCCGGUGAUAGUAAUUUUAAACACUUUGGGAAAGGUUAGUGACAGUUUAAUUUGGUGCCUAAAACAAUAUGAUAUUUAUAAUUUAUUGAUGGAUUUAUCUGAUCUGUACCACAGGGUUGUGGAAUUCGUCUAGCCUUGAAAAAGUGUUCCUCAAUUAUUCUUCUCUCCCAGCAAACUUUUUUAGGAACAUUGGACCCUUGUCUACUCUUAAAGUACUAUCUUUGACCGGAGUUGACUUCAAUAGCACCCUAUUUGAUCAAGGUAAUUCUACAAAUGAACAAUUAUAAGAGUAUUGAAAUCCAAAUAACAGUUGUUCACUAGAAGUUUAUAGAAAAGUAUAAAAUCUAGAGUUUCUCAAUCUCUAAAUUUUCUCAGUUUUAAAUUUAGGGUAGUUGGCAGAUGCAUGAACACGUGUUAGAAGUUGUUAAGAGAUGGUUAGAGUUAGUUAACAAUAUAAUAAAUCGUGUAAUAUAUGUGGGGAAGUAUAUAUAUAAUGGUAGGAGGUUUACGCACGCAAGAAAUAAUAGAAUCAUUCCUCUGUUUUUCCUUCUGCUUAACAGAUGAUUAUAUUACAAUACACAAAAUGGAUACUUCCACUUUAUAUGUGAUACGUUAGAAUUCAUGAAUAUUUGGUUAUUAAAAUAUUAAUAUAAUGUCAAAAAAUUAACACACAAUUUAUAUAUUGAUAUAUGUGAUACUUCUUAAUUUCUUUGCUUUCGACAAAUUUCUUUCAGGUUUUCAAGUGCUAGCUUCAAGGUUGAGGAAUUUGGAGGAACUUGAUCUAAGUUACAAUCAAUUUAACGACAGUAUUUUAUCAUCUCUCAGUGUAUUUUCAACUCUCAAAUCUCUAGAUCUAUCAAGCAAUAGGUUCACAGGAUCAACUGGUCUUAAUGGUAAAGUUGUAAUCAUUCCUCCCUCGGAUGGCAUUCCUUAGUGAGGCUUAAUUUAUUCUUUAGUGAAUUUGUCUAAUAAAUAGAUGUGUAUUAACCAUUAACUUUUGUUCAAUUUUUAAAAUUUUAUUAAAGGAUCAACUAGUUAGAAUUUAUAUGUGAUAUGUUAGAAUUCAUGAAUAUUUGGUUAUUAAAAUAUUGAUAUAAUGUCAAAAAAUUAACACACAAUUUAUAUAUUGAUAUAUGUGAUACUUCUUAAUUUCUUUGCUUUCGAUAAAUUUCUUUCAGGUUUUCAAGUGCUAGCUUCAGGGUUGAGGAAUUUGGAGGAACUUGAUCUAAGUUACAAUCAAUUUAACGAUAGUAUUUUAUCAUCUCUCAGUGUAUUUUCAACUCUCAAAUCUCUAGAUCUAUCAGGCAAUAGGUUCACAGGAUCAACUGGUCUUAAUGGUAAAGUUGUAAAUCAUUCCUCCCUCGGAUGACAUUCCUUAGUGAGACUUAAUUUAUUCUUUAGUGAAUUUGUCUAAUAAAUAGAUGUGUAUUAACCAUUAACUUUUGUUCAAUUUUUAAAAUUUUAUUAAAGGAUCAACUAGUUAGAAUUUAUAUGUGAUAUGUUAGAAUUCAUGAAUAUUUGGUUAUUAAAAUAUUGAUAUAAUAUCAAAAAAUUAACACAUAAAUUUAUAUUUCAUUGAAUAUAUAUAUGUUAAUUUCUUUGCUUCCAACAAUUUUCUUUCAGGUUUUCAAGUGCUAGCUUCAGGGUUGAGGAAUUUGGAGAAACUUGGUCUGAAUUAUAAUAAAGAUUUGAACGACGGAAUUUUUUCAUCUCUCAGUGGUUUUUCAUCUCUCAAAUCUCUAGAUCUAUCAGGCAAUAGGUUCACAGGAUCAACUGGUCUCAAUGGUAAAGUUGUAAAUCAUUCCUACCUCAGAUGACAUUCCCUAGUAAGAUUUAAUAAUUACAUGUGUAUUAACCCUUAAGUUGUUUGGAUGAAACCUUAAAAAGGCUUUAUAUAAUUAAUUUUUUAACGAGUGAAAUAAUUUGAAACUUACAUAUACACGCUAUUAACUUUUUUUCAAUUUUUUAAUUUUUUU
Molecule: long non-coding RNA, 50830 nt
Filed under: Populus tremula
Lineage: Eukaryota; Viridiplantae; Streptophyta; Magnoliopsida; Malpighiales; Salicaceae
Description: long non-coding RNA (PTRE_LNC002438)
Rfam family: Plant small nucleolar RNA R71 (bases 43629-43732)
Source: RNAcentral